AGGAAUUCGGAACCUGCAUCUUUAAUAUGACAUGGUAUAUUUAUUCUUAAUCUCUCCAUUACGUUUUGUGUUCCAUUUUUCUCGAUGGAAGUAAUUGUGGUUUAAUUUCACAUGGUUUUUAAACAAAUAAACACAUGAUGUGCUGAAUAGCUGACAUGCAGAGGAAAUGGUACAGCUUGAUGACUAUUUUACUACUAAAUUAUUCUCAGGUAUUUAUUGUUCCUUUUGUGAUAGUUUUCUCUCUCCUAAAAAUGAAAUGAAUCAUUUUUAAUUCUUUGAACAAGUUUGCCUAAAGUAGGGCGCUCAGCCAUUGAGGCAUUAUCAAUUUCUUUUAGAAGCUUCGCAAAAUCUGCUCUUGUACUAAAGAAAUCUAAUGUAGAUUUGUUAGCCUUAUAGGGUACUAUAUGGUGAACACAUGAUAUUAAAUAUACAGUAAAUUGCACUGUGAAGUGAGUAUGUAUAUACUAUCCACACAGGAUUGCCAUUUUGGAGAUGUUGCUGGGAUCAUCAUGGAUUGGGAUGCAUUCUGAUAAUUAGAUAUUAGGUAUUGAUAUGUGAUAUGUAUGUCACACUUGACUUCAUCAUCCUUUGUUUUUAGAUGUAUUCUUUAGGCAUACAUUAAUGUGGUAGCUUGGUCAUAUUCUGUAGCUAAUUUAGUCACCAAAUACUCGGAUUUUUUCCCGACUCCCAUUAUAAAGAACUUCCACUUGCCAUCUCUAUAUGGAUUUUCUUUUUGCUACCGAUUUUGGCUAAAGGUUUUUCGGCUCUCAUCUCUAUAUGGAUAUGCUUUUCUCAGGUUAGUAGUUUAGGAGUUCCUGCCAACACUGGUUUUUGGAAGUUAUACUCCCUUCACCAGUUGGGCUUAACAAGGACAUAAUUAAUUCUCUGUUGGUAAUUAGAAGGAAAAAAAUCUGGUUGGAGAAAACUUCUCUUUUGCUUAAUUGUUUGCUUCAUAAUUUUAGUAAUCUUUUUUUCUUUUUUUUUCAGGUUAGUAGUAUGGGAGUACCUGUCAAGACUGCCUUUUGGAAGUUAUGCUAGCCUCAUCAGUUGGGCUUUCUAUACAAAACUAGACUCAAUAUAAUUUAUUUUGGUGCUUGCGAUGAGUAUUAGACAGAGGGGUGAUGACCACAUAGUUCACCCAGUGUAUCUGUUCAUGUAUGUCAUUAAUUAUCUAAUUAGACAAAAAAACUCUCUCUGUAUGGUGUUUGUGAUGAUGCUGUCAAUUCACUAAACACUAAAAUACCAGGUUGUGAUUUUCAAAUCUAGCAAAUUAAUUUUCUCUAUUGCUUCUUUUCCAGGCAGAAGUUUUAGUCUAUUCUGUUCCAUGAGUCUUACUGUCAAAAAAAAUAUAUGGUAGCAUCAGAAGUUGUCCCCAUCAGAUAGAACACUGCCUAAUAGAUUCAUUCUAUUACUGUAUAGCCAUGGUGACAAAAAUAUUCAGAUAACAAGAAACAAUUUUGUCAAAUAUUGUCAGCGGAGAUACUGUUGCGGUCUAUAAGAAAAAAAUGUUAAUUAUUUAAUUAAACAGAAAACUAUGUUAUUUAUACCAACAAAUGCUAAACAAUCAGACUACCUGACACAAAAGUAUAUAUAUACAUUAGUUAAAUUUCAUUCCAAAAAUAGAUGAUGUAGUGGUAGAUGUUAAUCGUACAAGAACAUGAGGAUGACAAACAUAAAUUAAUCACAUAUAUUAUCAUCAUAGGUCGAUCUAACUGGUGGUAGUUAUUCUUUGCACUGAAAACAAAGUGGAAUCAAACGAUUCAAGCAACCAAAAAGAAGGAAACAAAGGAUGCUUAUGGAUCUGAAUGAGUUAGGGCGCUCCACUACUUGCAAGUAGAUCCAGUGACUCAGUGGCAGAGCUACUCUCGGCGACGCCAGGAAGCCACCCUGGUUCUACCCAGAAGUCAUCACUGAAAUUACAACAAGAAAUAUGAAGUAAUUAGUAUUUUUUUCCAUGGACAUAUGACCGCCGGCCAGUUGCCUUUGUGCUCAUGCCGGUGCUGUACCAAUGAAUUGACUCCAUCACUGUAGCGACCUGGAAGAACAUCAACUGUUUGUGGAGUUGGGAAUUUCUUCUCCGAGGAGAGAAAUGUUUAGUACGUCUCCAAAUCACUCCACUGUCCCGCCGGACAAAGAUGAGUUUAAUAUGGCCCGUCGACACGGAGAAGGCCUGCUAUCACAUACCGCUUAUUGGGCUGUAACAUUAGUCUCAUUCCAACGUCACAUAUCCAACAAAGAAGCUUAUACCAAAGAGAAAGCUACAAAUUGGAUGAUUGAUCCCUAUGAAAUUGAUGUUACACAUAUUUUAUUUCAAAAAGGGGAUUACCCGGGCCUCUGCAUCAAAUGAUGCACACAUUCAUAUUAUUAAACAUAAAUCAAGUUCCAAACACGGAGUUCCAGACUUAUUUCAUCAAGUAGUUUUCUUGUAUUUGAACUCAAUUCCUUCAAUUUCUCUAAGCCGUGAGCUUAUAUCAGCGGUGAGCUCAUCUACAUUAUGGGUUGUGAACUCAUUUAGUUUUAUCUAUGAACUCAUUAGGUGAACUCAUCACGGUUUUUUGGCAGAUGUGAACUUAUUUCAUAUUCAUCUAUGAAUCAUUGUUGAAGUGUCUGUAUAUCUCUCCCAUGCCAAUGUACAGAAAUUUGAGGUCUACAUACUUUUGCCAGUUCUACCUACAAUUCCAUUACUGUCUUUGAAUAAGCUACAGCAAGUGCAACAAAACAGAUUGCAACAAGUAGCUUAUGGACUGAAAUUUGUGAUAUUAUUCAUUUGUCGUAUUGUCGCUUAGUUCAUCCUGGUUGUGAAGCUAAACGUGACAUGCUAUUCUUGACGUAAUUUCCAAAUUGCAAUCCAUAAUCAAGCAAAAGACUACAAUAAAUGUGACUUACAUGUUGCUUGCAUUCAACACCUUCAGGACCUGCACACGCAUCCAUCUCCUCCUCCGGCCGUUGCUGCCAUUAAGCCACUUGCUCAGGACCUGCACAAGGCAUCCACCUUCUCUUCAGCACCAGUCUCGCCACUAGAAUGCUUCUCCAGCAGGGGAGGGCGAUCUGCGCCGAUGCGCGCAGGGGAGGGCAAGCACCCGCGGAGAGCUGCGCUGUCGCGCGCGGGCGUGGGGGAGAACCCGCGGCAAGCUGCGGUGGCUUGUGUAGGUAUCCGUGAGGUGAGGACGAGCUGCGCCGGCGCCUACAGACAUGGAUGAGCACCGGCGAUGAACCACAGUUGCUCGCGCAGGCAUCAGCAAGGCAUGGGCCAUCGGCGGGGGAGCUACGGUUGCUCGCACACGCGUGGGCAAGCUAUGGCGGAGAGAUGCGGUGGCUUCCGCAAGCAGCAGUGGGGUACGGCGACGAGCUAGCCCGAGAGCAAUCCUUAUCCAACCAGUCCACACACAUUAGAUAAGGUUAGAUAGCAUCAGGGGCACUUUGGUCCUUUCAAGUGCUAGAAAAUGGAAAAGAAAAAAAAGAAAUGGCAUGGUAAUGAAAGUGCACUGAACUGGUGGCAUUUUUAUGAAGUAAGUACUAUUAAAAACAGAAAAUAACCUAUUUUCUUCUAAAAAACAAUAUAACUCUUACUUUUUUUGUCGGGUUGGCUCACGCCCAAACUGGGCCACAAGGCAGUCAACUCCUUCAGACUAACUAAUAUCAAAUUAGUUGAUUCGGCAUUUUUUUGCACUGCCUAGCCUCGAUUUGUUUUUCAUAUGAAGUGACUCACAUGCUAAUUAAUUCUUCCUCCCACCUCGCUUAUGUUGGUUUUGAUUAAUUAAAACUUAUUCUGCCAGUCAACAAUGUAUAGAUAUGUUGACUUUUAUCUUUAUGUACUAUUUAUCUUUCGCUCCUCUACUGCACCGAAUUCAUUGUAGUGGUCAAGCAAAAAGAAAACUUCAGUUUAAACACUUUGUUUGAAAAGAAAUAAAGAUACAUGCGUCUAAGUUUACAACCUUAUUAAACAAACAAAGUAGCUCUCAUGUCCACUUUAUAUUCUGUCAGAGAAAUCAAGGCAAACAAGGAUUCUUAAAAUAAAAAAUGUUAUCUCUAAUUUCAAGAUAGUUUGCAAUCCGUCGAGAUCUAGGACAUUCAUCAAUUCAAAACGGACUAAGUUUGAAUGAAAUGAAAGCAGCUUCAACAUUGUGUACAUAGGGAACAAACCACCAAGAACCAAAGCAUAAGAACUAGCCUCAUCUCUUUACCACUACAUCACUGAGACAAACCUAGCUGGACGAUCAACAUCUUAUCUAAAAAAACAAGAGCUUUAUAAUUCUGUGUCCAGUAGCCACUAUCACUAUCUACUGUAGAUCACUUAUGCACGUACGAACUAGAUGUAUUCUUUUCUUGUAUGAACUACUUUGCAAUGAAUUAAGUCUUGGGACGAGUUACCAAAUAUUACAAAAAACAAAUAGUUUGUAAAUUCAUGUGGCACGGCGUGCCGCCGCGCACUACCUGCUAGUAUAUAUGAGAGAAGAUAGCAUCUCGAUCAACACCGUACGAGUGCCCAUCAUCUAAACGUAGAGAUCGACAACAAGAUCGAUGGCCGCUGAGCGCAAGACUAGUGUUGUCGGGUCGUUCCUCGCCGUUACCCUCGUGGUGCUGGUGGUGGUGGCCACAUCAUCCAUGCCGGUGGUUAGGGGGGAUGAGAAGUCUGCUUGCCUCGGCGAUUACUCCAAGCUCUGCGGCAAGGACCCCGCGUGCACCACCAUGGUGGAGACGGCCUGCUGCGAUGAUGCCGAUAGCGUCAAGUUCAUCAAGGGCAUGUUCGACGAGCUCGCCACGGUCGGUGGAGACAACAAUGACUUUGCUUCUACGGCAUGGCCGUGGGGGCACGCGGCCCUCCGCGCGGCCGUGGACGAGCACGGGGCCUGCCCCGGCAACAAGACGGUCGGACAAUUUGCUGGUGAGCACUGCAUCAAGGACCUCGACGCGGCAUAAAAGGAUCCGAGCUGCACCGACGAUGCUCACAUCGAAUGCUACCGUACAGCCUCGAGAUUUUGCUACAGCAAGGCCACCCCCACCGACAAGAAAGCCAUACAGCAAAACUUGGAGUGCUUCAAGAGCUGUUGCGCAAAGAAGAACAAUAGUGAAGAGUGCCGUAAAGUAUGCAUCCUCAAGAUUCCGGCCAAUUGAAAAUGCAUGCAUGCAUUUGUACUUCAGGGUGCUGCUUUCAUUUCAGAGUGCUUCAUUCAUGUUUUCACAUGCAUGUAUUAAUCUCAUUUUGUUGUUGCUUUUUCUAACAUUCUUCUUUUUUCGCAAAAAGAACAUUCAUUAUGUUGUUGCUGUUAUUGGAAAACCAAUAAAUAAAGAGUGGUAAAUAAUUUUUGGAUGAUCUCUAACUUAACGUUAUAUUUUGCUAGCUAGAUGUGCUUGCAUGUUGGCAGAGUUUCUUAGUGCGCAUGCAAGUGGCACAAAAUCAGGGCACGCUUGUUUUCUCUUGCUGUGGGUAUUUAGGCCCAGUUCUUUUGCCAGAAUCUGGAAAUUCUCCCAGAAUUCGACCCCUACUCAGCUUCUCCCAGAAUCUUUGAGCCCCAUUUAUUUUACAAUCCUAUCUAAUUAGACCCUAACUAGAUAGGAUUGUAAAACAAACGAGGCCCAAAGAUUCUGGGAGAAGCUGAGUAGGGGUCGGAUUCUGAAAAAAUCCCAAGAUUAUGGUAAAAGAACUGGGCCUUAGGGAGGUUACAAGCAUGUUUUUUUCCUAGGGUCAGAAGAAGAGAAUAUAAAGGAGAAAAGCAAAAUCAUAUGUCCUCUCUUAUGAACCUGUGAAAUGAAUCGAAGGAGCUGAGAGAGUCAGCUCCAAUAUUAAUUGCCAAGGUUCAAAGACGCCACGAUGGUCAAUAGGUUUUUUUCUGGAAAAAUCACUACCAGGAAAUGAUUAUAUGACGAGUGCAUAGCUUCAAGCACUCGGUGAAGGACCGCCUAAAAUGACUGCAUAUAAAAAAAAAUAGACCCAUGUUUGCAGAAAAACUAGCGAAAAUUACAAUGCUAAUUUCAUAUUGUUGGGGAACGCAGUAAUUUCAAAAAUCUUCCUACGAUCAUGCAAGAUCUAUAUCUAGGUGAUGCAUAGCAACGAGAGGGGAGAGUGUUGUCUACGUACCAUCGUAGACCCAAAGCGAAAGCGUUAUGACAACGCGGUUGAUGUAUUCGUACGUCUUCACGAUCCGACCGAUCCUAGCACCGAAGGUACGGCACCUCCGCGAUCUGCACAAGUUUAGCUCGGUGACGUCUCACGAACUCUAGAUCCAGGUGAGGUCGAGGGAGAGUUUCGUCAGCACGACGGUGUCGUGACGGUGAUGAUGAAGUUACCGGCGCAGGGCUUCGCCUAAGCACUACAACGAUAUGACCAAGGUGGAAAUCUGUGGAGGGGGCACCGCACACGGCUAAACAAUCAACUUGUGUGUUCUAGGGUGCCCCCUGCCCCCGUAUAUAAAGGAGCAAGGGGGAGGUCAGCCGGCCCUCAUGGGGCGCGCCCCUAGUAGGAUUCCUACUGGGAAUCGUAUUCCUAGUAGGUUUCCAACAAGGGAAAAGAGGGGGAAGGAGGAAGGAAGAGGGGGAACAGAAGGAAAGGGGGGAGGGGGCGCCGCCCCCUUCCCUUGUCCUAUUCAGACUCAAGGGGGAUGGGAGGGCAGACCCUCCUAGCCCUUCCUCUUCUCGCACUAAGGCCCAUCUAGGCCCGUUAGUUCCCCCGGGGGAUUCCGGUAACCCUCCGGCACUCCGGUUUUAUCCGAAACUUCUCCGGAACACUUCCGGUGUCCGAAUAUAGUCGUCCAAUAUAUCUAUCUUUACGUCUAGACCAUUUCGAGACUCCUCGUCAUGUCCGUGAUCACAUCCGGGACUCCGAACAAUCUUCGAUACAUCAUAUCACAUAAACGCAUAAUACCAAUCGUCAUCGAACGUUAAGUGUGCGGACCCUACGAGUUCAAGAACUAUGCAUACAUGACCGAGACACGUCUCAGGUCAAUGACCAAUAGCGGAACCUGGAUGCUCAUAUUGGUUCCUACAUAUUCUACGAAGAUCUUUAUCGGUCAAACCGCAUAACACCAUACGUUGUUCCCUUCGUCAUCGGUAUGUUACUUGCCCGAGAUUCGAUCGUCGGUAUCUCAAUACCUAGUUCAAUCUCGUUACCGGCAAGUUUCUUUACUCCGUCUGUAAUACUUCAUCCCGCAACUAACUCAUUAGUCACAAUGCUUGCAAGGCUUAUAGUGACGAGUAUUACCGAGAGGGCCUAGAGAUACCUCUCCGAAACACGGAGUGACAAAUGCUAAUAUGGAUCUAUGCCAACCCAACAAACACCUUCGGAGACACCUGUAGAGCACUAUUAUAAUCACCCAUUUACGUUGUGACAUUUGGUAGCACACAAAGUGUUCCUCCGGUAUUCGGGAGUUGCAUAAUCUCAUAGUCUGAGGAACUUGUAUAAGUCAUGAAGAAAGCAGUAGCAAUGAAACUAACACGAUCAUAAUGCUAAGCUAACGGAUGGGUCAUGUCCAUCACAUCAUUCUCCUAAUGAUGUGAUCUCGUUCAUCAAAUGACAACACAUGUCUAUGGUUAGGAAACAUAACCAUCUUUGAUUAACGAGCUAGUCUAGUAGAGGCAUACUAGCGACACUAUGUUUUGUCUAUGUAUUCACACAUGUACUAAGUUUCCGGUUAAUACAAUUCUAGCAUGAAUAAUAAACAUUUAUCAUGAAUUAAGGAAAUAAAUAAUAACUUUAUUAUUGCCUCUAGGGCAUAUUUCCUUCAGAUAUAAUUUUGAUUUCUAUGAUGUAUUGAAGGAUAACUAAUUUGGUAUCGUGUUUGUUGAUAGUUUUUAGAUCAACUUGAACAAACUUUGUACUGUUUGACUCUAGACAAACAUUGUGUAGGAUCGAGAGUAUAUCGACUAGAGGGGGGUUGAAUGAGAGAUUUAAAAUUUCUUUUCAAAACUUCAAAUCUCUGGAGACAUAACAGCAGAAGUAAUACUACAAUAGGAACACUGAACAAAAGUAAGUACAGGCACACAAAGACAAACAGGCUAAACCAAUACGACUAAGAAAAUGUUUCGAUCAAAGCGAUGAUAAUCUUCCUAGUGUAGUGGCAGAGAACCUUAGCAACAACAAUGAUAAAACAGAAACAAAACAACUCAAAUGACAUGGAGGACGGACUGUUAUGAAAGUGCCCUUCUGCUCGUACCCACUCGUCGCUUGCCCCUGCAGGGCGACAGGGGGAGCAACCCUAGCAACCCAGCCGCUGCGAUCCCAUCUCUCCUUCCCCUCUGCCGCUGUCGGGGGACAGCGCCGAGUAGAGCCUGUGCGUUCGAUGGCAGCGGCAGAGGGCUGCUCCUCCUUCCCGCGUUGUAAGGCGGUGAGAGCGCCAGAUCCGCAGAGGUGCGGUCUCUUCCUCGAUCCUUGGGGCAUGGUGGCUCCUGCUAGGGGUGUUUGUACUGGUGCAGGAUGAUAAGGCUAGAGGAUGGAGGUGGGGCUGGGCUUGGCCGGUGGCAGAGGCGGCGUCCGGCCCAGAUCCGGUCUUGGCGAAGGCGGUGGCGACUCCGGCCCGGAUCCGAAUGUGGCAGUGUGGUGGCAUCCCCUUUGCCAGGAAGACGGGCCAGAUUGUGGGCCCUUGUGGCGGCAUCGAUGGCGGCAGAUCUUGGGAUCCCGCAUCCGGGAACAUCGCAGGAUGCGCAUGGCGGCCGGAGGUUUCUCUGGCAUGGACGACGCUUGAUGCGGGAUCGCCACAACGCUUGCUGUUGUAUAGGCAACAACAAGGGGGCUAUAGAUGAUAUGCAUAUCGAGGAGGAAUAUCUUCAAGUUCUCAGUUGUUUGAACAAACCAGGUAUUAUAUUCUCAGUUUUGGCGUGGACAAGUGUCAGGACCCGAUUUUCGGGAUAUUAAUUUCCCAGAAAAUGGCCCUUGUGCUCACCAGCCCCAGGAUUACUAUUAGCUGAUGAGGCACCAACUUGAUACAGAAACUCCAAGCAAAAUACAAGAUAUGUAGUACAAGACCAUUCUAGCCUAUGAGUACAAUAAAUGGUUACUAGUGGUUGAUGGCGGAAGCGGUUUUGCGGAUCAUCAGCGUCUAUGGGACUCCAUUUCCCACAGGAACAGCUGACCUAGAUAACUCCUAUCUUCGCGAGACUGUUCUCAUCACUGCCUAGGUUCCGGGGCUGUCAUCGCAGUGCUCCUCUCCAUGCAAGGAAAUCUGGGCAAGACAAUAGCCAGGGACAAGCCAGUGAGUACUUUUGAAUGUACUCGCAAACAUUAAGAACACAGGUAUAAUAUAACAAUUGAAAAUCAUGCUCUGAAUUAUUUCAAAACCACACAUCAGUCAUGAAAUGAAAAUCCAUGAUGCACAUAGGUAGGUUAUUUAUGUCAAAUAUGAAUAUGCAAUCAGAGGGGAAAAAAUAAUGCACCGAUCGGGUGUCUGAAGCGACACCUCGAAAGGAUAAUGAUAUAAAGCAUGCCUCAGUCGGGCGUCUGAGCGACACCACAUAAAGGGCUUAUAAAGGAAUUUAAAUAACAAGCACGCCACAGUUGGGCGUCUCAGUGACACCACAUAAAGGGCUUAUAAAGUAAUUUAAAUAACAAACAUGCCACAGUCGGGCGUCUCUGCGACACCACAUAAAGGGCUUAUAAAGUAAUUUGAAUAACAAGCAUGCCACAGUCGAGCGUCUCUGCGACAUCACAUAAAGGGCUUAUAAAGGAAUUUAAAUAAAAAGCACGCCACAGUAGGGCGUCUCAGCGACACCACAUAAAGGGCUUAUAGGGGAAUAAUCACAGUGAAUAUCCAGGAGGUAGAACCAUCCCAGUGAUACUCAGUAAUUCAAAUAAUGUAAAUGGUUAGCCCAUAAUAAUAGUAAUCAUAAUCAUCAUGUGUCGCAAGUCAUGAUCCAUGUUUUGGUUUAGCAAUCUUUCGUCCGAAGACCGACACUAAGACCGACACUUGACCCAUCCCAGACUGUAGUCCUUAACUAUGGACACGGCUAUUCGAAUAGAUAUAACCUCUGCAGAGGGUGUACUCUUUACCCACGAGCAACGGAUUCCUUUAGUCCAUCGGGACUAAUUCCGUCUACGGUCUUUUAAUUAAAAACACACCUGACCACACACACCAGCCUAUCUUACCGGUGUCUGGAAUCACCCACGACACCCGUUAAGCGAAACUCUAAGUGGGGAGGCUGCAACCUCGAUUAGCAUGGGAUCACAAAAUUUAUAUCGCGCACAAACUAGGGGAGCUACCCCCUCGGCUUCAACCGAAAACACCCAUUCCCCCGGACCAGGUGGCAUGCCUACCGGAUGCAGCCGGUAUCUUCCAUCAUGGCCUCUCUGUACGAUGUGUGCUAGGAAAGGGGUUGACAACUUACUGAACCGUACCCUACGUAUGGCAGGGACAAGUGGUAGUACGAAACAAGCAUGGGGGUUACUGGAACAAGACUCGAUCUAUGGUCGACUCAGGAGGUUUAAGUAUUCCCUGCAUGAUUAGCAUAACAAAUAUAUUUCAACCGACAGACAGAAUCACCACCCAUCAUACCUCAUCAUGCCCUACCGGAUACAACCGUCUCGACGAGAAACUAGGGAUAAGCUCGUGUCUACCCAAGACAGAGACUUUCCUGGCUUCCUUCCGGUAGACAUGAAAGGCAUACGAGCGUGAUCACUAUCACGAGCAUAUCCAUUUCCAACAGCAAGGAAAUCUUCAUUUUGCACUCAUGCGUAUGAUCAUAUCAUCUCAUAAAUAAUGAAUGCUCCAUGUCGAGGUGGUGUUGUAACCGUAUCAAACAACACACAAAAAUAUUAUGCCAGGGUUCAGAAUGCUUGCCUUGAAGUUGUGGACAGGCAGGGUGCAUUCCAAAACUUUUGAAAGUUUCUUGCUUCUUCAAAAAUCCUAUUUUGAGGAAAUUCAAAUUAACACAUAUUUUUUUUAAACAGUACAAAAAGUUUUUUGGCAAAUUUUCUAAUAAAUGUGAAAAUAAACUAGACAGAAUUUGAGAAACAACAGAAAAAGAAUCAAGUCAAUUGGACUUAUAUUUUAAAAGUUAUAGUGAGUCAAAGUUCAGUCAAAAUCUGUUUUUAAUUAAAACAGAAAAAGAAAACGUUUCGAAUAGGAAUACGUCUUCGAGACGGAGGAAACAUACUUCUGGGUUUACGCCUCAUCUUAAACCAGCGCGGACCGGCUUGGGGUCACUGACAGUGGGUCCCUUGGGCCCACUGGUCAGGUUUGACCAAUCGCCCGCGCCUCCUCUCUCCUCUAGCCGAACAGAGGCGGGGCGCCGACGAUCACCACCGAUGAACGGCGGCUCCCUACAGGGAUCCAAGGGCAGGGAUGGAUCCGCCAGUCUGGGGCGGUCCUCCUGGUGGUCGACAAACUGGCGGGGAUGAAGGGAGUCGCCGGUGGUGAGCUCUGCGACGGAGGUGAGUUCGGGAGAAAUUGGGGUUUCGGGCUACGGUGACUCCCGGACGAGGCUGAGGGUUUGGGUGGCUCCGCAUGAUCAAGGGGAGUCGGACGAUGGCGUUGGAAGGGCAGGGGAGGCUCUAUUUGCGACGCACGGCGCCGGAGUGUGGCGGCGGCCGAACUGGCCGGAGACGAGGAAGACGGCCUUCCCUCGUCGAUUGCUGGCUGUGGGGGCACUAAGGGGAUGGUACGAGGUUGCCUAAGUGUCCGGAUGGGCUCGGGGUCCCUAUUUAUAGCGCGACUAGGUCGGUUCCACAGCGGCCGGAGAUAAGAUCGGCGAACCGCCUCGCUGUAGCUUGCAGUGCGAUGUGUCGGCGAUGGGGAUGUUGGCAUAGGCUAGCUGACGAGCAGGCACUGCCCCAGGGGCGAGCUGGCGAGCGGUUGUGGCUCGGGCGGUGCCGUCCACGGCAGGGACGUGCUGUGGACUCUGGCGUGCCGCCAAGGGGGCUCUGAAGGCGGCGACGUAGGGUGCCAGGGUGGCCUGGAGGGUUCUGUUGAGUGGACGGGAACGAGGAGUGGCCCUGCGGGCGAGCGAAGGCCAGGGGCAAGACGCGGCGGCUCGGUGCGCGCGCGUGCAAAACAUGCGCUCUGGGCGCGCCCAGAGCACGCACACCAGGUGCUCGAUGCUAUGCCAACGCGUCCUAUGCCUCUCCGAUGCCUCUGCAACUAAACAAAACUAGGCUAAUGAUCAUGAGGGAGCUAAUAGACAUGUUGGUAAGGUCACUAGAGCAACUUCCUAAUGCAAGUCCAAAAGCAUGCCAAAACUGGCCAUGCUCCUAACAUGCUCGAUGAAAUGCCACGGGCAUCUAGGCAUCUCUUGGGGUGGCCAAAAUCUCCAGAUCAUAGUCUCUCUAGAUGCUAAAGAGGGUGGCAGAGUUAGUUGGGCAAAACCAGAAACUUGUUAGUGCAAUUUUUUGAGAAAACCAAAUCUGGACAGAAACUAAGGGCAUCAUUGCAUGGACCAAAUAUACUCCAAUGGGUCCACUUUCCUGGACUUAAAGGUUUUGUAGGGUGAUCUAUAAGCAGGAAAAAUAAUCAUGGGAAAAAGGGCAAGUUAAAAUAUAGUUGCACUACAAUUCACCAAGAUGGACCAGAAUGAAGAUGAGGAUGAUCUGCUCAAAUUUUUCAAAGAACAUCAAUGGGUUUUUGCAUAAAGUUGAAUUAUAUACUACUACUAACUUCCCAUAAUUUUGGUGGAAGCUUUAAAGAAAUUUUUAAAUAGGUUGUAGUGCAAUUUGGCAAACUGGACCAGAAUUGAAAACUUGGGGUAGAGCUCAAAAUCUCCAAUGACUAAAAUAUAUUAUUGCAUAAAAGUGACGUGGAAGCAUCACAUGUCAUCCCCAAAUGUUGGUGAGAAUUUUAAAAGGGUAUUUGAAAGGGUUGCAGUGCAAACUGACUCCAAAACUCAUAAAAUCCAUUUUAAAAGAAAUAAAGCUCAGGAAAAAUUAAUUAUAUAAAUAAUUCCUCUGAUAAAAAAAUGUUUUUCUUGAGAGGGUAUACAAGUCCAACAAUGCAUUUGGAAAGUUUUCAGUUGGGGUAAAAACUCCAUAAUAUCAAAGAAAAGGGUGGUUCUGAAAUCAAAGAAAAUCCAGAAAAUAAAAAUUUAAUUUCCUGGCAAUAUUUUAAUAAACAAAUCAUGUUUAAAUUUUUGGGGUGUUACAACACUACCCCCCUUAAGAAAAAACUCAUCCUCAAGAUUUAUUAAGGGUUGCUUAAAACAAAUUACACCUGUUAUCACAAAAAUAACCGCUCUACUCAUGCAAUAAAAUAUGGCUAAAGUGAGUGGGCAAUAAGUGGUGUAAAACUACAGUGUGGAAGACUGGCGUUGCGUAGAAAAAUCCAUGUUUGGGGGAAAACGAGGAAUUUCAACUUUUGGUCACAGAAAUCUAGAAUUAAAUUCUAAUUUCUAAAAUACGCUGGUCGUACCCGAGAGCACAAUGCUCCCUCUGGCUAACAGGUGGACCCCGGGCCCACUGACAGUCUCUUCUUCUUCCUCUGGCUCUCUCUUCUUCUUCUCUCUCUCUCGCGUGCUUUCCCGCGCUUUCUCCACCGGCGACGUCUAGUGCGUAGGGCAUCUAGGCCGUACCGCGGUAGUGCACGGCGUGCUAGCUGCCGGUGCAGCGUGCACUCACCUCGCGGGCCAGUGCGCUGUCGACACUGCUCGCGGAUUCGCCUCCGAACACCGACGAUCGAGCGACGAGCGGCGCUGGUGGACUUCGCCCACCGUACACCGAUCUCGAGCUAUAAAAUGACCGGGGUGCUCCUUCUUCUUCCUCACACCUGGCCUCGUUUCUCCUUCUCCUUCCUUCUCCUCUAUUCCCGUUUUGCAGAAGCUCGAGACGAGGCUCUAAUGGCGGAGGCGGUGCCGGACUGGUACAUGAUCCUGGUGUGUGGAGGGCUGGCGGCAUUGCUGGGGUUCUCCGUGCUCCUGUGCGCGAUGAUCCUCGAAGAUCAUCGUGAUCCUGCCGCUUCAGUGUUGGCUCUCCGCGGUGGCGGCGAUCACGAGGAUUAGGUGCGGUGCCGGGUGUUAACUGUUGUCAAUGCUGGGGAUAACCUGUAUCCGAAUAUUUACUCACAAAUCUCUCCUUCAGAAACUGUGGUGUGUUAGGGAGGCGAUCAGUUAGAUACAACAUGGGUACAUGGUUUUGCAAUUAGUGCACGUGGUCGAGUGGUUGUGGUUGUGAGACUGCUGUCGCGGUGUUGCGUGAAUAAAAAUCUAUGUCGUGAAGAGAUGUACGCUGCAGCAACUCAGGGAAAGGAAAUCUCACUUCAGAAUUUUUUGAGAGUGAAAAUUAGUUAAUCAAAAUUUAACAGCAGCAAAAACCACUCGCAUAAAUUGAAACCAAUUAUUUAAUUCGUCGCACAAAUUCAGGAUACCACGCAUAAGUUGCAACACAAAAUUAAAUGCCGGGGAACAAUAACAUAGCAGUGACGUCUACAGUGAAAAUGGAAAAUAGAUAGGGUCCCGAGAAAACAUCUCUGGUACUGGGCACACUCUUCUUCUAUCGGGGGAAGCAGAUUGACUAGUCGGUGAAUGUGUCUCUCCUGGUCGGGCCUUAGUGGUCUGCCGAUGGCGAUGUGAGGAUUUAAAUCAGCGAGGCUCUGGAGAUAACCCAUUAUUCGCUGGGUUAAACGCUCUUGAGUGAUGACAUACUAGGCAAGGUUGAACAGUACUGGGUCUCUCUCAAUUCGUCCACCAGGAAAAGUGGUUACUUCUCCGAGUGCUGCACGACUCGGGAAAUAAUAAUACCCUCGUUCGCUGGCAUAGGGUACCGCGAAUCGAAGGCGGGCAAGUGCUUCAUAUGCCACUACUUCUAUGGCCAUCUGCGGAGUCGGCAUAGAUUUCCCCACGAAGGAGACUUCCGUUGGGUCUUGGUUUGGGUUUGUGGGAGGGAUGUGCACCACUGCCCGAUAUUUCGAGGUGGAUGGGGUGAUCCUCGAUUUGAGCAACUCGUACUGGGGUGGAUGGAUAGAACUCAUGGUACUGCAGGUAAAGUCCCACAAUAUUUUAACAAAACUACCUGGGGUUGCAUCUGGACUUCUCAGAUAAAUGCUAGGGCUCGGCAUGGCCAAGGAAUGGUUGUGAGAGUUGGGCACAAGGUGAGGGCUAAUUGGUAAGGUCACGAGGUGGCCUUUUAUAUAGCAUCUGGGCUGGGUUAUUUAUCACGGUGAGGGGCGACUAGUUUGUUGGUUGUGCUCUAUGGGGUCGGGGUCAAAGCCACAGAUACACAUAUCUCACAAAAGUGAUGUAUUACUGUGGGUGUCGUCGGGGGUGGUUGUUGGUAGCUACGCCCGGAAUUAAAAAUGCAGCCGUACACCACACACUUAUGCAUGGCUACAGUUUAAAAUAGGGACACACAAGCAGACAACAUUCAACUAUGGCGAUACAAGAUUACGUAAUUACAGGGCGUGGACAUACUAAGAUUUGGUACUACUCGAGCGACUUAGUCUACCUCGUUAAUAUCUAAGCGGGCUUGCCUUGUGGACGUCGAGGCUUCACCAUGGGAUUCACCGUCGGGGUUAGAUGGAGGUGGUUGAGGAACUGCAGGGUCGGGGUAGCGAUGAUGACCAUCGCGGGGAUUGUUGGCCACGAUCCCGCUGGAGCGUGUUCCCAAAAGGCGACGAAGCACUUCUAGGGACACCAAAGCACCUUGGUCGAUGGCUAGGGCUGACCUCAAGGUCUCGAUUGGUUGUCCGAACAACACGAUUGGGCUGUCGACGUCGGGCUCAUCUUCUCUUCUUGCCGGGGCUCGGUGGAUCAGUUCUCCAUGAGCUGCGAUCAGAUCCAGAGUGAUUUGAUCGAGCAUUUCCUCUAGUGCACUUACAUAGCGCACCAGAUGCAACAAUGCAGGAUCCGUCUCGUGAUCUCCGUUGGUAACCUGGGGUGGCCUACCAUACCCGUCACGACUGGGGUAGUAGUAGACCGAGCGACAGUUAACUCUAGGCGACAAGUGCCGGAGUUGAACUAUAGCCUCUCGAGCAGCUAGCUGGAUGGCUUGUGGCUCAAAGGAAGUUGUCCUUCCGGUGAACCUGUAGGGGCGUUCUGGCGAUAGACCCCUACCAUAGACGUGCACAGUGGCCCAGAAUUGACGGCUCUCACCACUCAUGGGCCCUUGGUACACAACAUAUUCUGGGGUUCUUCUAAUGCAAAGGCAUGGCGGGUGAGGUUUGCUAGCACGGUCACAAAACCUCCAAGGUUGGUUGCCGUGGUCUCAUUGUGAACAAUGGGUCCUGGCAUUUUAGCUUGGUUUGGGGUAGCGGCUGUGCUGUGCUGGGUUGAGGCUAGCGUGCCCUUUUUAUAGAAAAAGGGGACAGAGUCUUCCUUCGCACGCUUGCGAAUAAGACAUUUUAGGUGUCGGUCACUGGCGUGUGAUCGACAGGCUAGGCCGAUAGGUUGGGCACCGACUGCCAAAAAGGUGUCGGGGUCACUGAGGGAGUCCUGGAUUAGGGGGUGUUCGGGUAGCCGGACUAUACCUUCAGCCGGACUCGUGGAAUAUGAAGAUACAAGAUUGAAGACUUCGUCCCGUGUCCGGAUGGGACUUUCCUUGGCGUGGAUGGCAAGCUUGGCGAUGCGGAUAUUCAAGAUCUCCUACCAUUGUAACCGACUCUAUGUAACCCUAACCCUAUCCGGUGUCUAUAUAAACCGGAGGGUUGUAGUCCGUAGGCAAUCAACUCCAUAUACAACAAUCAUACCAUAGGCUAGCUUCUAGGGUUUAGCCUCCUUGAUCUCGUGGUAGAUCUACUCUUGUACUACCCAUAUCAUGAAUAUUAAUCAAGCAGGACGUAGGGUUUUACCUCCAUCAAGAGGGCCCAAACCUGGGUAAAACAUCGUGUUCCCUGCCUCCUGUUACCAUCCGGCCUAGACGCACAGUUCGGGACCCACUACCCGAGAUCCGCCGGUUUUGACACCGACAUUGGUGCUUUCAUUAAGAGUUCCUCUGUGUCGUCGCCUUUAGGCCCGAUGGCUCCUUUGAUCAUCAACAACGAUGUGGUCCAGGGUGAGACUUUUCUCCCCGGAUAGAUCUUCGUUUUCGGGGGCUUCGCUCUGCAGGCCAAUUCGCUCGGCCACCUGGAGCAGAUCGAAAGCUACGCCCCUGGCCAUCAAGUCAGGUUUGGAAGCUUAAACUACACGGCUGACAUCCGCAGAGAUUUGAUCUUCGACGGGCUCGAGCCACGGCCAAGCGCGCCGCACUAUCUCAAGGGGCAUGAUCUAGCUCUGCCCCCGGACAGCGUCUUGGAGGCCGCACACGCAUCGGUUCCGACCCCUAACUCAGAGCCUAUUGCGCCAAUCGAGGAUGAGCGGUUGGACGUCACCUCGGGGGCUGCGAUCCCAAAAGCGAACUCCGAUCCGUGACUCUGAGGAUCCGGACUCCUUUCCGAACUCCGAACCCCCCGCGCCCCUGCCGAUCGAAUCUGAUUGGGUGCCGAUAAUGGAGUUCACCGCCGCAGACAUCUUUCAGCACUCGCCUUUUGACGAUGUCCUGAACUCUCUCAAGUCUCUCUCCUUAUCAGGAGAGCCCUGGCCGAACUACGGUCAGCGAGGAUGGGAUAUGGACGAUGAAGAAAUUUAAAGCCCACCCACCACCCACUUGGUAGCCACUGUCGACAAUUUAAACGACGUUCUCAACUUCGACUCUGAAGACAUCGACAACAUGGAUGACGAUGCAGGAGAUACCGACGAACCAACGCCCAUAGGGCAUUGGACAGCCACCUCAUCUCACGAUGUGUACAUGGUGGAUACCCCUAAAGGAAGCGACAACGAGGAAAAAGGGGAUGGGACGGGAGAUCGACCCCCCGAAAAGCAAUCAAAGCGUCGGCGUAAACGCCGACCCAAGCCCCGCCUCGACAAAAACCCAGCCAUAGAGCAGGACGAGCCGGUAGACGACGAGCAGGCCUUAGAGCAACCGUCCGAACAGGGCAACACGGAUAGAGAAGCCGAACAUCCCUCCUCCGGCGAAAACGGCAUUCCGGACGACCUCACGCCGGAUAAACCUAUGGAGCAGAAGAAUCUCCACGAGAGGCUCAUUGCAACUGCACGCAGCCUAAAAAAGCAGAAGCGGAAGCUAAAAACAGCGGAAGAUGCACUCCGGAUUAGAUGGAGCAAAGUAAUCAAUACCGCAGAUAAAUACGGCGACAGUCGCCGCACUAAAAGCUAUCCGAAAAGAAAGCUACUGCCUGAAUUCGAUGAAGAGGCCCUGGAGCCCUCGCAUUCAAAAAAUGAGCAAGCCACACGGUCGGAUAGACGACCCCGUAAAGCGGCAAGCGGCGCCGCACCUAAAUCGGCAUGCGACCCACUUAAGGAUUCGCAUCAUGGCCCAGUCAGGUCCAUUUAUGGGCCAAGAAAGCAAGCUCUCGUAAGCAACGCUAUGAAGCCAUCAUCAGAAUCCGGCACACCCAAAUACAGGGGCACCGCACACCCCCUAUGUUUCACCGAUGAGGUCCUGGACUAUGAAUUUCCAGAGGGAUUCAAUCCCGUAAACAUAGAGGCAUAUGAUGGUACAACAUACCCUGGAGUUUGGAUCGAGGAUUAUAUCCUCCACAUACACAUGGCUAGAGGAGAUGAUCUCCACGCCAUAAAAUAUUUACCCCUUAAGCUUAAAGGGCAGCCCGGCAUUGGCUUAAAAGCCUUCCCGAAAACACAAUUGGAAGCUGGGAAGAGCUCGAGGAUGCUUUCCGAGCAAACUUUCAAGGGACCUAUGUCCGCCCUCCGGAUGCAGAUGAUCUUAGUCACAUAACUCAGCAACCCGGAGAAUCAGCUCGACAAUUCUGGAAUGAGAGAAGUGCAUAUUUCAACCCUGAACUUUUGGACUAGUCUAAUUUACAACCCCGAACUCCAAUACCGUCUAAACUACAACCCCCAACUCUCAAAACCGGUCAGUAUUCAACCCUCCCCUCUUUGUUGACCGGUUUUGACCAGUCAACAGGUCCAGUCAGCAUGCCACAUCAACAAAAAAUGCAAAAUUUCCAAGGAAACAACCUGUAAAAUCGAAGAAAAUACAGGAAAAGAAAUAAGAAAUCCAAUUUCCGAAAAACACGGAAAAUAAAAAAACGAAUUUCCAAAAAAAAUCCAGAAAAAACCCAAAAGCUCAAAUUCCAGGAAAAAAAUAUUUCUAGAAAAAAAUCAUUUUUUAUUUUCCCUAACUUUUUUCGCGAACAAUUUUUUCGGAAUUUUGCUUUUUUAUAUUUUUUUCCUGAUCUUACAGAUUUUUAUUUUCUUUUUCUUGAAAUUUUGAAAAUAAAUCUCACGUGGCAUGCUGAUUGGACCCGUUGACUAGUCAAAACUAGUCACCCCAGGUCAAAACCGGUCAACAAAGAGGGGAGGGUUGAAUCCUGCCCGGUUUUGAGACUUGGGGGUUGUAAUUUAGACGGUAUUAAAGUUCGGGGUUGUAAAUUAAACUAGGGCAAGAGUUUAGGGUUGAAAUAUGCACUUCUCUCUUCUGGAAUAGAUUCCUCACUAAAAAGAAUCAGAUAGUCGACUGUCCGGAUGCCGAAGCCUUAGCAGGUUUCAGGCAUAACGUCCGAGAUGAAUGGCUCGCCAGACACCUCGGCCAAGAAAAGCCAAGAACAAUGGCCGCACUAACAAGCCUCAUGACCCGCUUUUGUGCAAGGGAGGACAUCUGGUUGGCAAGGUGCAGCCCCAGCGACCCAAGUACAUCCGAAAUUAGGGAUGGAAACGGAAAACCGCGACGCAACAAGGACCGUCGCUGGACUAAGGACAAAAGUCCGAAGAGCACGGCAGUCAAUGCCGGAUUCAAAGGCUCACGACAGAAUCAAGAAAAAUCGCCCCCCAGGAUAACAGGGACGAUCCAUCCAACUUAAAUAAAAUCCUGGACAGGAUAUGUCAGAUACAUAGUACUCCCGGGAAGCCUGCUAACCAUACCCACAGAGAUUGUUGGGUUUUCAAACAAUCCGGCAGACUCAAUGCUGAACACAAGGGGCUCGACACACCAAGCGAAGACGAGGACGAACCCCAAAAGCAGAGCACCAGGAAACAAAACAACUUCCCAUAAGAAGUAAAAACAGUGAACUCACUUCACAUAACAAAACGUGCGGUGCCCGUAAAGGUACGCACCACACGGCCCAUCCCCAAAGGGUCCUGCCACUGUUUGUCAAAACCGUUCAUCUUCGAUCAGCUAGAUUAUUCUAGAAAUAUCAAGAAUGCAGGCUGGACUGCCUUGAUACUCGAUCCAAUAAUUAGCGGACUCCAGUUUUCAAAUGUCCUUAUGGACGGCGGCAGUAGACUAAACCUGAUAUAUUAGGAUACAAUCCAUCACAUGGGGAUAAACCCAGCAAGAAUCCGCCGCAGCAAAACCUCCUUUCAAGGGGUAACACCUGGUCAGGACACCCAUUGUAUGGAUUUCCUCCGUCUUGAAGUCAUAUUCGGCUCUGCCGAUAACUUCCGCCACGAAAAGCUGACUUUCCAUAUCGUCCCGUUCUCAAGUCGCUAUCAAGCACUACUAGGACGUGAAGCUUUCGCUCGCUUUAACGCAAUACCGCAUUAUGCAUCUCUUAUGCUUAAGAUGCCCGGUCCACGAGGCAUCAUCUCUUUGAAGGGGAAGCACUAAAGUGCGCCUCCCCAAGCGGAGGACUGCGCGGCCGCUUUGACAGCCCCACAGCAAAAUGGCCUCACCGGCCAGAAAACUUCGAAAUAGGUCAUUCAAGACCACGAACGCGGAUAGACGAGUUCGGUGCAAAAUCAUCAUUGAUGCAGGCCUAGUGGCCAUAUACCCCCGCACUAGGGGCUCCGCGCAUAUACAAUAAGAGACAAUAAAGCUCAAUAUUAUAUACUCCCUCCGUUCCUCAAUAUAAGGUGUAUUAUUUUUUCAAGAAGUCAAACUUCUCUAAGUUUGACCAAGUUUAUAGACAAAAAUAUCAAUAUCUAGAAUACCAAAUCACUAUCACUAGAUUCAUCAUGAACUAUAUUUUUAUAUUUUAUAUAUUUAGUAUUAUAAAUCUUCAUAUAUUUUGCUGUAAACUUGGUCAAACAUAGAUAACAGUUGACUUUUUGAAAAACUAAUACACCUUAUAUUUAGGAACGGAGGGAGUAUUUUACUUUAUACUUUGUUUAUUUUAAACUUUUUCUGCACGACCCGUUCUCAACUCAGUUCCUCUCUUUUACAGAUGAACGUCGUGCGGCGCCCGUCCAGGAUACGGCACAACGGAGACACAGGCGCAGACGUGCAGUAGGGACCCGUUCUAAAGGAUUCUUUUUAGAUUAAGACCCUGCGUAAACCUUUUUUACUGUCUCUUGUUGCUAUACAUCCCCUGGUUUUUUCUGAUAUAACCAAGGAGGAGGCUGGCGUCUUGGCAUGUGGCCACGUCAGAAUUUUUGCACGUACCUGGACACUAGGGGCUUUUUUAAUAAAGAGUGUUGUUUCACCCGCACUCAUAAAGACCGAACACCUUAGGGAGUGUUCGGCGUCGUGAGUUUUGGCAUUAUAUGCAUCGGCUCCGAAUCAUGUCUUUGGUCAAAUGUUGGGUUGCCCGGCUCCUGAGUUCGGCUACCUUACAUUCCGCUCUAUCGGCUAAGGUAGCACCAGGAGAACUACUGCGAUUGUGCCCCGGUUCAGCCGGGCGAGCACCUCAGUAGAGAAAGCCGAAAACUGACUGUCAUGAUGUAGUGUGAGACUGGUCAGCCACUCGAUGACCUAUCGGAAUCUAUCGGAUUCCUCCGCUUUAACGAAGGGUCGCUUCCCGGUCAGGCACAUACGCGCCCCGAACUCGAGCGAGCGUAGUUGCCACCAAGGGGCUACCUAAAUAAUCUCACUAUCAAGCUCCUAUGGCUAAGUGAAAGUGUUAAAGCAUUAUAGUCCGGUUGCCUGGCCCGCUGCGCUAUCACCUCCUUUGUAGGACCAAGACGUUGGGUUAAGUGUGAAAAUGCGUCUUCUGCGAGCACCCCCGCACUAUGUGCGUGGGGGCUGAAGCCAACGAUUGACAUCUUUCAGAUUAUAUAUAUAUACCUUAAAACGGCCGCACAUGAGGUGUUCCCAAUACUUGAAGGAACAAGUAUAAAAAGGCCACUACAAUUUAUCAAAAUAUUACUUUAUAAUUACAUAUGCUAUCAUAACAUAGCAUCUUUCGAGCACUGCGUCUCUAUUACACGAGCGCCUUCAAGGACUUCCUGAAAAUAGUGCUCGGAGGUACUCGGCUUUUGUCCGAAUCUCGGGACGCAACAAUGGUGGUCUCCAUCUCUGCCCAGUAUGUCUUGACACGGGCAAGAGCCAUCCUUGCGCCCUCUAUGCAUGCUGACCUCUUCAUUGCAUUAAUACGCGACACCGCGUCAAGGAAUUGCUGCACCAAGCUGAAAUAACUCUUCAGCUCCGAUCUCCCCGGCCACAGAUGACCCAUGACGUACUUCAUGGCGAGUCCGGACAACCUAUUCAGUUCGGCCCAUUGAGCCAAAAAAUCAUCCAUUGCCAGCGGACGCUCUGGAUUGUGAAACUGUGACCAGAAAAGCUUUUCCACUUCGCGAUCUUUCUGAUCUCGAAAGUGUUCGGUCGCAUCAGCAGCACUCGCUGCCAAAUCCAGAUAGGUAUCCUCCACACUCCACAUCCGGUCCAACGGAGCAAACUUCGGAUCACAAAAUUUCCGUCGCAGCAUAAAGGGCUUUCCAGCCGCAAUCUGUUCGGCCUGACGCAGCUCCUCCUUCGCAGCUCUCAUCGUAGAGCGCGCGUCCUUGGCAUUGGCAACGGCCUUCUCUAAGUCCGUCUGUUUUGCCUGGUCUUCUUUCUCAAGAAGUCUGCAAUGAUCUGCAGCACUCUUUAACUUUUCGGCCAUCUCGGCCAUCUCUUCCUUGCUUCGGCAAUGAGCAGCCUGUUCGGCUCUCAGCUCUUCAAGGGCUUUCUUGGCAGCCGCAUCACUUUCUCUGGCUUGUUCUUUAGCUCGGGCAAGUUCUGCCCUAAGACUCUCCACGGCGGCCGCACCAUCUGCGUCAAGCACACACAUCGUAAGACACUGGCAUAAAACUCUUCUUACCUGAUGCCGCCCGAGGAAUUACAUACCUUGAGCCUCAUCAAGCCGCUUGUUGACAAGCGCGAUGUCGGCAUCUGCCACGUCUAGUUGCCUCUUUAGUUCGGCAACAUCAUCAGUUUGGCUCGAUUCCGGACACCCUGCCGCCUACAUUCAAAGGCGACAUCUUAGACCUGGGAUUAUGAUCCUCCGUGUGCCGUCAUUUCUUGACGACGCGCAGAGUCUCAGGGGCUACUAUCUACACAUGGCGCAUCUUAUUCAUGCGCAACUGACAAAAGUGUGCAUUAUCUAAUGUACCUCAAAACCCGUCAGUAAACUUUUGAUGGCCUCAUGCAAUCCGCUCUCUGCGGAUGAGAUCCUUUCAAUCACCGUGCCCAUCAAUGCACGGUGCUCCUCCAACAUAGACGCUCGCCCCAGCAAAAUCUUUAGCUCCUCCGGCCGAGCACCAGACGGUGCCGAAGUUGUCCCAUGACCUCUUUCGAAGGCCGGACGCGGAGAACCUCGGGGGGCCACAUAGCUAUCUUCCGCCCCUGCCGGAUUCGGAGAAACCCUCCGCGACGACACCUCAGGGUCGCCCGCCUCGCUAGGCGGCACGGCAGGGGGUGGCGUCCCGCUCUCCAUCAUCUCCGGAAGGAGAUCCCCCGAAGACGAGCUCUGCUGAGAAGUGCUGAGGUCCGAGCUAGAAGGUAAAAAUUCGGUUAAUGUUCUCAAAUCUAAAUCAAGGAUUUCUCUCAUCCCUCAAAAGGAAAAAUCUUUCUCUACUUACGGCUCGCUGGAGGGCUGAUCCCCUUGAGGGCGUAGUCCGGCCGAGGAACUCCCCGGCGUCGGACCCUCUGACGAGGAUUUCCCCCCCCCGCUUCGAGGCCAUGGUUUCUGGGUCGUCAGAGGCGGCUCCCUUCUUCCCCUUAGGAGAGGAAUUGUCGGUUCCUCCCUUCGGAGCAGCCUCCUUCGAGGAGGCCAUAGUUUCCUUGUCCUCCCCCUUGCUUCCCUCCAAAGGCAUUAUCUCCAGCAUCCUGACCAGCACGGGAUCCGGCCUGGUUUCGGGAAGGGGAGCCGGACACCUGAUCAGCUUUGCCUUCGCUAUCCACUCCUGUUUAAAAGGACGGCUCUUUUAGGGGUAAGUUUAUGACAAUUAUACGGAUAGAAGGUCUGGGCACAAGGUUGCUUACUUGAGCAUCCGGGCGAUUGCAGCUUAGGCCUGCGUCCUCGGUAAAAUCCGGACACAUCUCUCAUGAUCCGAAGAACAGUUUAUACAUCUCCACGGGCGUUGCUCCCAUGAAAUUCUGGAGAGCUCGCGGUCCCUCUGGAUUAAACUCCCACAGGCGAAGGGAGCGAUGUUUGCCGGGCAAUUUUCGGCGAAUCAGCAUGACCUACGUCACCUUGACCAGGCUGAGGUCUCCUUCCAAGAGAUCCUUAAUGCAGCCCUGUAACAAGGGCACGUCUUUGGGCAAACCCCAAUCUAACCCUCUGUUGACCCAUGACGCUAGCCCUGGUUGCGGACCCGAGCGAAAGGCAGGAGGCGCCACCCACUUGGUGCUCCGGGGAGCGGUGAUAUAAAACCACUCUCGUUGCCAGAAGCCUAGCUCCUCUUGAAAAGAGCCCUCGGGCCAUGGAGCAUCAGCAUUUUUGCUUAUAACAGCGCCUCCGCACUCUGCGUGCCGUCCCUUGAUCAUCUUCGGCUCCACUUUGAAAGUCUUGAGCCAUAAUCCGAAGUGAGGGGUAACACGGAGGAACGCUUCGCAUACAACGAUAAAUGAGGAGAUAUGGAGGAUGGACUCCGGAGCUAAGUCGUGAAAUUCCAGCCCGUAAUAAAACAGCAGUCCCCUCACAAAGGGAUCCAUCGGGAAGCCUAACCCCCGAAGGAAGUGAGACACGAACACUACGCUCUCACUGGGCUGGGGACUGGGGAUAGCCUGCCUUUGAGCAGGCAACCUGUGCGAAAUUUCGGCGGUCAAGAACUUAUCCUCUCUCAACUUUAGCACGUCCUCCUCCGUGACGGAGGAGGGCAUCCAUCAACCUUGAAGGUCGGAACCGGACAUUGUCGAAGGUCUGAGGCGCCUGAAAUCUGGAGCCUAGGGUGUUGGAACUCGAGGCGACGGGCGAACUCGUUUUGGGAUUGGAGAAAAAAGGCCCUGGUCUCUUUAUAAGAGGUUGAAUACCAGGAGCCCUCCCUGUAACCGUUUGGGACUCGCCUUUAAUCGAGAAAACAUGCUAACGGGCAUGAUUGGGUUACCCACGUCUGUAUGGAUGAGAAUCCCGUGAAAGGGGGCACACGAUCUCUGCUUUGACAAGACGUGCCAAGGAAACUGCCUCGCAAAACACGCUGAGGUGGAAGAGUGAAAACGAUUCGAGUAAAGGACUUGGCUAUAGUGUGAUGACGCACUGCGGAAUACGCCAGCAGAUUUGAUUUGUGUUAAUAUUAUUCUCUCUAUGGCAAUAUGUGGAAGCUUAUUUUGUAGAGCCGAACACUACUCUUGGUGUUUACAAUCUUCUAUGAAGGACUUGGAGGAGGAACCCGCCUUGCAAUGCCGAAGACAAUUUGCGCGCCGGACUCGUCGUCAUUGAAGCUUGGUUCAGGGGCUACUGAGGGAGUCCUGGAUUAGGGGGUGUUCAGGUAGCCGGACUAUACCUUCAGCCAGACUCCUGGAAUAUGAAGAUACAAGAUUGAAGACUUCAUCCCGUGUCCAGAUGGGACUUUCCUUGGCGUGGAAGGCAAGCUUGGCGAUGCGGAUAUUCAAGAUCUCCUACCAUUGUAACCGACUCUAUGUAACCCUAACCCUAUCCGGUGUCUAUAUAAAUCGGAGGGUUGUAGUCCGUAGGCAAUCAACUCCAUAUACAACAAUCAUACCAUAGGCUAGCUUCUAGGGUUUAGCCUCCUUGAUCUCGUGGUAGAUCUACUCUUGUACUACCCAUAUCAUCAAUAUUAAUCAAGCAGGACGUAGGGUUUUACCUCCAUCAAGAGGGCCCGAACCUGGGUAAAACAUCGUGUUCCCUGCCUCCUAUUACCAUCCAGCCUAGACGCACAGUUCGGGACCCACUACCCGAGAUCCGCCGGUUUUGACACCGACACUAGGGAUGGCGGCAUAGGCUAGCUGACGAGCAGACACUGCUCCAGGGGCGAGCUGGCGAGCGGUUGUGGCUCGGGCGGUGCCGUCCAUGGCAGGGACGUGCUGUGGACUCCGGCGUGCCGCCAAGGGGGCUCUGUCGGUGACGCUGUAGGGUGCCAGGGUGGCCUAGAGGGUUCUGGUGAGUGGACGGGAACGAGGCAUGGCCCUGCGGGCGCGCGAAGGCCAGGGGCAAGACGCGGCGGCUCGAUGCGCGCGCGUGCAAAACGUGCGCUCUGGGCACGCCCAGAGCAUGCAUGCCAGGUGCUCGGUGCUAUGCCAAUGCGUCCUAUGCCUCUCUGAUGCCUCUGCAACUAAACAGAACUAGGCUAAUGAUCAUGAGGGAGCCAAUAGACAUGUUGGUAAGGUCACUAGAGCAACUUCCUAAUGCAAGUCUAAUAGCAUGCCAAAACUAGCCAUGCUCCUAACCUGCUCGAUGAAAUGCCAAGGGCAUCUAGGCAUCUCUUGCGGUGGCCAAAAUGUCCAGAUCAUAGUCUCCCUAGAUGCUAAAGAGGGUGGCAGGGUUAGUUGGGCAAAACUAGAAACUUGUUAGUGCAAGUGUUUGAGAAAACCAAAUCUGGACAGAAACUAAAGGGCAUCAUUGCAUGGACCAAAUAUACUCCAAUGGGUCCACUCUCCUGGACUUAAAGUUUUUGUAGGGUGAUCUAUAAGCAGGAAAAAGAAUCAUGGGAAAAAGGGCAAGUUAAAAUAUGGUUGCAGUACAAUUCACCAAGCUGGACCAGAAUGAAGAUGAGGAUGAUCUACUCAAAUUUUUUCAAAGCACAUCAAUGGGUUUUUGCAUAAAGUUGAAUUAUAUACUACUACUAACAACCCAUAAUUUUGGUGGAAGCUUUAAAGAAAUUUUUAAAUAGGUUGUAGUGCAAUUUGGCAAACUGGAGCAGAAUUGAAAACUUGGGGUAGAGCUCAAAAUCUCCAAUGACUAAAAUAUAUUAUUGCAUAAAAGUGAUGUGGAAGCAUCACAUGGCAUCCCCAAAUUUUGGUGAGAAUUUUAAAAGGGUAUUUGAAAGGGUUGCAGUGCAAACUGACUCCAAAACUCAUAAAAAUCCAUUUUAAAAGAAAUAAAGCUCAGGAAAAAUUAAUUAUAUAAAUAAUUCCUUUGGUAAAAAGAAAUGUUUUUCUUGAGAGGGUAUACAAGUCCAAAAAUGCAUUUGGAAAGUUUUCACUUGGGGUAAAAACUCCAUAAUAUCAAAGAAAAGGGUGGUUCUGAAAUCAAAGAAAAUCGAGAAAAUAAAAAUUUAAUUUCCUGGCAAUAUCUCAAUAAACAAAUCAUGUUUAAAUUUUUGGUGUGUUACAUCAAGAAAGUCAAUUACAUGACCCAGUGUCAGCAAUAAUCAUGACCCUGCAUUAUCAGUCAUAACCCGGCAAUUUCGAGGAUCACAACUUGACAAGCUCUAGCAUCAUUAAGCAGGAGUAUUCAAGAACUGGUUUAGCUCUAGAAGAACAUCUUAAGUCCAAUAUUUUUAUUAAUUCAUAGAAUUGAAUGUCGACUCAGAUGGAUUCUUUUUUAUAAUAGUUUUCUACAAGGAAAUUGACUAUGAAGCUGGCCUAUUGAUCUGGACUUUUCAAACGAAGUACCAGGAAUCUUCAGCAUUGGAAAAGUUUGAACAUAUAUGCUAAAAGUGUUUUGCUAUGAAGUCAUGGACACAUACCAAGAAGGAAAUCACAAGUACUUAGGGAUGAUCAGGUGCCGGUUUAGAAAACUUUAACUUGGAUCACAACCUAUCAAAUUUGUUCUUGUGUUUAUUUUGCAGGAUCAGUUUAACAUGGAUAAAUCCAAAUUAAACUUGGGGCUAAUGUCAGGGAUAUACCCCGCCGUAUGACCCGACCGAACUUGGCGACUCACUAAGUGACCCACCCAAAUUUCUCCACUCACUAAUGACCCGGCCGGGCUUGGUGACUCAUUGGUGACCUGGCAGGUGGGUUAGAGGAAUAUCAAGGCCCAAGGCCUAGAAGGCGGCCUAUGAGAAGACCGACUCAAGGUGCGUGUCCGGUGGGCCAGCUUAAAAGGAAAGCAUUAGGAAUAUCCCAUUACAAAGGAAGCAAUACUAGGACUCCACUUGUCAUAGAGUAAUACUAAUCCUACUACACUACAAAAAAACACACUUCCGUGAUGAUACAUGUUUGUCACAGUAGGUCGCGUUUUUUUUGUCAUGCAUGUACAUCCAUGACUAUUUUAUGACAGAAUCAAGAUAGUCUUACAUGUGCUAUCGUAGAAGUGUUCCAUCACAUUACCAAAAUUAUCAUCACGGAAGUAUCCACUUCCAUGAUGAUAAAUCGCAUGUCAUAGAAGUGCUUUCGUCAAGGGUGACCGACACGUGGCAUCCACCGUAACGAAACGAUGUUAAGCUAUCAGGUCCGAUUUUGGAUCGGAUAACCCGUUAACAGCCCCGACCAAUGGGGAUUUUCCACGUGUAAAAUCAUCAUUGGCUGGAGGAAACACGUGUCGUCUCACCGUUGGGACAGAUGUCAUCCACUCAUUGGACCAAGGGAACCUAUUAUACAUCGAGACGUGCCACGGCCCAACAGAGGCCCAUUCCUGUGAAAAGGCCGACCUGUUUGACUUGGUCAAAAAGUGGCAGGCCGGCCACGGAAAGCCCGCUAAUGGCCUGUUCGCAUAUAGCCCAUUUACAGCCCGCUAACACAAUGCCCAUUACGGCCUAUCCGAGUUACGCCCAGUUGCGUCAUCUGGGCCGUCCAAUAUGAUUCCAACCCGUUUAAACUUCCGGCCCAUGUAUGGCCCAUGAUGUCUUUCGGCCCAUAUGAGGCCCUUUGCAACUCUUGGCCCACUAACGGCCCGUGGUGAAACUGGCCAGUAAUGAACAGUGUAUCACUUUAUACCCAUUAACGGCCCAUUAUUCCAUUGGGCCGUUUCCAAUCCAAGUUAUCUUUCGGCCUUCUCAGGGCCCAUUUAUUCUUGGGCUCAUUUCCAGCAUUCGGUUAUGUUAAGGCAUAUCUCUCUAGAUGUAGUUUUGGUGAUUGAUGACAACAUGUUUGCGAACUAAUCGUGUGAUUUGAGCUUUUUAGAGAUUCAUACUUGGCAUGAGAUGAUUUAUUUCCCCUCCGAGUGUUAUUCAAGACGGUGUAGCUCUUUCAUUCUAUUUUGGUGAACUAGUUCCGUAGAAGUCACUGUACUAUCAAGAGGGGGUCCGCUUUGGUAAGGCUAGGGUGGAAUCAACACGUACACAUCCUUUUCACACCCUUUGAGCCUUUCCACUUCAAUGGAGAGCUCUUUCCCCUUUCUUUGUGCAUCGUCUGGUCCCAGUGGUAGUACUGCGGUGUUGGAAAUAUGCCCUAGAGGCAAUAAUAAAAGUAUUAUUAUUAUAUUUCCUUGUUCAUGAUAAUUGUCUUUUAUUCAUGCUAUAACUGUAUUAUCCGGAAAUCGUAAUACACGUGUGAAUACAUAGACCACAAUAUGUCCCUAGUGAGCCUCUAGUUGACUAGCUCGUUGUGAUCAACAGAUAGUCAUGGUUUCCUGGCUAUGGACAUUGGAUGUCGUUGAUAACGGGAUCACAUCAUUAGGAGAAUGAUGUGAUGGACAAGACCCAAUCCUAAGACUAGCACAAAAGAUCGUGUAGUUCAUUUGCUAGAGCUUUGCCAAUGUCAAGUAUCUCUUCCUUCGACCAUGAGAGCGUGUAACUCCUGGAUACCGUAGGAGUGCUUUGGGUGUAUCAAACGUCACAACGUAACUGGGUGACUAUAAAGGUGCACUACAGGUAUCUCCGGAAGUAUCUAUUGUUUUAUGCGGAUCGAGACUGGGAUUUGUCACUCCGUGUAAACGGAGAGGUAUCUCUGGGCCCACUCGGUAGGACAUCAUCAUAUGCGCAAUGUGACCAAGGAGUUGAUCACGGGAUGAUGUGUUACGGAACGAGUAAAGUGACUUGCCGGUAACGAGAUUGAACAAGGUAUUGGAUACCGACGAUCGAAUCUCGGGCAAGUAACAUACCGCUAGACAAAGGGAAUUGUAUACGGGAUCGACUGAGUCCUUGACAUCGUGGUUCAUCCGAUGAGAUCAUCGUGGAACAUGUGGGAGCCAACAUGGGUAUCCAGAUCCCGCUGUUGGUUAUUGACCGGAGAACGUCUCGGUCAUGUCUACAUGUCUCCCGAACCCGUAGGGUCUACACACUUAAGGUUCGAUGACGCUAGGGUUAUAAAGGAAGUUUGUAUGUGGUUACCGAAUGUUGUUCGGAGUCCCGGAUGAGAUCCCGGACGUCACGAGGAGUUCCGGAAUGGUCCGGAGGUAAAGACUUAUAUAUGGGAAGUCCUAUUUUGGCCACCGGAAAAUGUUCAGGUUUUUUCGGUAUUGUACCGGGAAGGUUCUAGAAGGUUCCGGAGUGGGGCCCACCUGCAUGGGGGGACCCACAUGAACGUGCGUAGUGGGGGCAAGGCCCCACACCCCUGGGCAAGGCGCAACAAGAUCCCCCCUUAGAAGGAAUAAGAUCAUAUCCCGAAGGGAUAAGAUCAAGAUCCCUAAAAAGGGAUAACAAUCGGUGGGGAAGGAAAUAAUGAGAUUUCUUUCCUCCCACCUUGGCCAACGCCCCAAUGGACUUGGAGGGCAAGAAACCAGCCCCUCCACCCCUAUAUAUAGUGGGGAGGCGCAUGGGAGCUAUAGACGAAGUUCUGGCGCAGCCCUCCCCCUCUCACAAGUACUCCUCCUCUCCCGCGGUGCUUGGCGAAGCCCUGCAGGAUUGCCACGCUCCUCCACCACCACCACGCCGUUGUGCUGCUGCUGGAUGGAGUCUUCCUCAACCUCUCCCUCUCUCCUUGCUGGAUCAAGGCUUGGGAGACGUCACCGGGCUGUAUGUGUGUUGAACGCGGAGGUGCCGUGCGUUCGACACUUGAUCAUCGGUGAUUUGAAUCACGACGAGUACGACUCCAUCAACCCCGUUCACUUGAACGCUUCCGCUUAGCGAUCUACAAGGGUAUGUAGAUGCACUCUCUUUCUACUCGUUGCUGGUCUCUCCAUAGAUAGAUCUUGGUGACACGUAGGAAAAUUUUGAAUUUCUGCUACGUUCCCCAACAGUGGCAUCAUGAGCUAGGUCUAUUGCGUAGAUUCUUUGCACGAGUAGAACACAAAAUAGUUGUGGGCGUUGAUUUUGUUCAAUAUGCUUACCGUUACUAGUCCAAUCUUGUUUCGACGGUAUUGUGGGAUGAAGCGGCCCGGACCGACCUUACACGUACUCUUACGUGAGACAGGUUUCACCGAUUGACAUGCACUUGGUGCAUAAGGUGGCUAGCGGGUGCCAGUCUCUCCCACUUUAGUCGAAACGGAUUCGAUGAAAAGGGUCCUUAUGAAGGAUAAAUAGAAAUUGACAUAUCACGUUGUGGUUUUGCGUAGGUAAGAAACGUUCUUGCUAGAAACCCAUAGCAGCCACGUAAAACAUGCAAACAACAAUUAGAGGACGUCUAACUUGUUUUUGCAGGGUAUGCUAUGUGAUGUGAUAUGGACAACAAGAAUGUGAUGAAUGAUAUGUGAUGUACGAGAUUGAUCAUGUUCUUGUAAUAGGAUUCACGACUUGCAUGUCGAUGAGUAUGACAACCGGCAGGAGCCAUAGGAGUUGUCUUUAUUCAUUGUAUGACCUGCGUGUCAUUGAACAACGCCAUGUAAUUACUUUACUCUAUUGCUAACCGGUAGCCAUAGUAGUAGAAGUAAUAGUUGGCGAGACAACUUCAUGAAGACACGAUGAUGGAGAUCAUGGUGUCAUGCCGGUGACGAUGAUGAUCACGGAGCCCCGAAGAUGGAGAUCAAAAGGAGCAAAAUGAUAUUGGCCAUAUCAUGUCACUAUUUGAUUGCAUGUGAUGUUUAUCAUGUUUAUGCAUCUUGUUUACUUAGGACGACGGUAGUAAAUAAGAUGAUCCCUUACAACAAUUUCAAGAAGUGUUCUCCCCUAACUGUGCACCGUUGCUACAGUUCGUCGCUUCUAAGCACCACGUGAUGAUCGAGUGUGAUGGAUUCUUACGUUCACAUACAACGGGUGUAAGACAGUUUUACACAGCGAAAACACUUAGGGUUAACUUGACGAGCCUAGCAUGUGCAGACAUGGCCUCGGAACAUGGAGACCGAAAGGUCGAGCAUGAGUCGUAUAGUAGAUACGAUCAACAUGAAGAUGUUCACCGAUGAUGACUAGUCCGUCUCACGUGAUGAUCGGACACGGCCUAGUUGACUCGGAUCAUGUAAUCACUUAGAUGACCAGAGGGAUGUCUAUCUGAGUGGGAGUUCAUAAGAUGAACUUAAUUAUCCUGAACAUAGUCAAAAGACCUUUUGCAAAUUAUGUCGUAGUUCACGCUAUAGUUCUACUGUUUUAGUUAUGUUCCUAGAGAAAAUAUAGUUGAAAGUUGACAGUAGCAAUUAUGCGGACAGUAGAAAGCUUAUGUCCUUAAUGCACCGCUCAGUGUGCUGAACCCCAAACGUCGUUUGUGGAUGUUGCGUACAUCGGACAUACACGUUUUGAUAACUACGUGAUAGUUCAGUUAAACGGUUUAGAGUUGAGGCACCAAAGACGUUUUCGAAACGUCACGGAACAUAUGAGAUGUUUCGAGGGCUGAAAUUGGGAUUUCAGGCUCGUGCCCACGUCAAGAGGUAUAAGACCUCCGACGAUUUUCUUAGCCUGCAAACUAAGGGAGAAAAGCUCAAUCGUUUAGCUUGUGCUCAGAUUGUCUGAGCACAACAAUCACUUGAAUCGAGUGGGAGUUGAUCCUCCAGAUGAGAUAGUGAUGUUUCCCCAAAGUCAUUGCCACCAAGCUGCUAGAGCUUCAUGAUUAACUAUAACAUAUCAGGGAUAGAUAUGAUGAUCCUUGAAAUAUUCAUGAUGUUUGACACCGCGAAAGUAGAAAUCAAGAAGGAGCAUCAAUUGUUGAUGGUUGGUGAAACCACUAGUUUCUAGAAGGGCAAGGGAACAAAGGGAUACUUCAUGAAACGGCAAUUCAGCUGCUGCUCUAGUGAAGAAACCCAAGGUUGAACCCAAACCCGAGACUAAGUGCUUCUGUAAUAAGGGGAACAACCACUGGAGCAGCAUUACCCUAGAUACUUGGUAGAUGAGAAGGCUGGCAAGGUCGAUAGAAGUAUAUUGGAUAUACAUUAUGUUAAUGUGUACUUUACUAGUACUCCUAGUAGCACCAGGGUAUUGGAUACCGGUUCGGUUGCUAAGUGUUAGUAACUCGAAAUAAAAGCUACGGAAUAAACGGAGACUAGCUAAAGGUGAGCUGACGAUAUAUGUUGGAAGUGUUUCCAAGGUUGAUAUGAUCAAGCAUCGCACGCUCCCUCUACCACCGAGAUUGGUGUUUGCGUUGAGCAUAGACAUGAUUGGAUUAUGUCUAUCGCAAUACGGUUAUUCAUUUAAGGAGAAUAAUGGUUACUCUAUUUUCGAAUAAUACCUUCAAUGGUCUUGCACCUAAAGGAAUGGUUUAUUGAAUCUCGGUCGUAGUGAUACACAUUUUCAUGCCAAAAGAUAUAAGAUAGUAAUGAUAGUACCACUUACUUGUGGCACUGCCAUGUAAGUCAUAAUGGUAUAAAACGCAUGAAGAAGUUCCAUGUUGAUGGAUCUUUGGACUCACUCGUUUUUGAAAAGUUUGAGACAUGCGAACCAUGUCUAUUGGUGUAUAUGCAUGAAGAAACUCCAUGCAAAUGGAUCGUUCGGACUCACUUGAUUUUGAAUCACUUGAGAUAUGAAAAUCAUACCACAUGGGCAAGAUGACUGAAAAGCCUCAUUUUUAGUAAGAUGGAACAAGAUAGCAACUUGUUGGAAGUAACACAUUUUGAUGUGUGCAGUCGAAUGAGUGCUGAGGCAUGCAGUGAAUAUCAUUAUGUUCUUACUUCACAGAUGAUUCGAGUAAAUGUUGAGUAUAUUUACUUGAUGAAACACAAGUCUGAAUUAUUGAAUGGUUCAAGUAAUUUCAGAGUGAAGUAGCAGAUCAUUGUGACAAGAGGAUAAAAUGUCUAUGAUAUGAUCAUAGAGAUGAAUAUCUGAGUUACGAGUUUUGGCACACAAUUAAGACAAUGUGGAAAUUGUUUCGCAAUUAAUACCGCCUGGAACACCAUAAUGUGAUGGUGUGUCCGAACAUCAUAGUUGCACCCUAUUGGAUAUGGUGCGUACCAUGAUGUCUCUUAUCGAAUUACCACUAUCGUUCAUGGGUUAGGCAUUAGAGACAACCACAUUCACUUUAAAUAGGGCACCACGUAAUUCCGAUGAGAUGACACCGUAUGAAUUAUGGUUUAGAGAAACCUAAGUUGUCGUUGCUUAAAAGUUUGGGGCUGCGAUGCUUAUAUGAAAAAGUUUCAGGUUGAUAAGCUCGAACCCAAAGCGAAUAAAAUGCAUCUUCAUAGGAAACCCAAAACAGUUGGGUAUACCUCCUAAUUCAGAUCCGAAAGCAAUAUGGAUUGUUUCUAGAAUCGGGUCCUUUCUCGAGGAAAAGUUUCUCUCGAAAGAAUUGAGUGGGAGGAUGGUGGAGACUUGAUGAGGUUAUUGAACCGUAUCUUCAACUAGUGUGUGACAGGGCACAGGGAGUUGUUCCUGUGGCACCUACACCAAUUGAAGUGGAAGCUUAUGAUAUUGAUCAUGAAACUUCGGAUCAAGUCACUCCCAAACCUCGUAGGAUGACAAGGAUGCGUACUACUUCAGAGUGGUACGUAAUCCUGUCUUGAAGGUCAUGUUGCUAGACAACAAUGAACCUACGAGCUAUGGAGAAGCGAUGGUGGGCCCGGAUUCCGAUAAAUGGCUUGAGGCCAUAAAAUCCGAGAGAGGAUCCAUGUAUGAAAACAAAGUGUAGACUUUGGCAGAACGGCUCGAUGGUUGUAAGGCUAAUGAGUACAGAUGGAUUUCAAAAGGAAGACGGACAAUGAUGGUAAAUGUCACCAUUAAGAAAGCUCGACUUGUCGUUAAGAUGUUUUCCGACAAGUUCAAGGAGUUGACUACGAUGAGAUUUUCUCACUCGUAGCGAUGCUAAGAGUCUGUUGGAAUUAUAUUAGCGAUUACUGCAUUAUUUAUGAAAUCUUGCAGAUAGGAUGUCAAAACAUUGUUUCCUCGACGAUUUUAAUGAGGAAAGGUUGUAUGUGAUACAACCGGAAGGUUUUGUCAAUCCCGAAAGAUGCUAAUAAGUAUGCAAAGCUCCAGCAAUCCUUCUAAGGACUGGAGUGAGCAUCUCGGAGUUGGAAUGUAUGCUUCGAUGAUGAUCAAAAAUUUUGGGUUUGUACAAAGUUUAUGAGAAACUUGUAUUUCCAAAGAAGUGAGUGGGAGCACUAUAGAAUUUCUGAUGAGUAUAUGUUGUUGACAUAUUGUUGAUCAGAAAUGACGUAGAAUUUCUGGAAAGCAUAUAGGGUUAUUUUGAAAGUGUUUUUCAAUGGAAAGCCUGGAUUAAGCUACUUGAACAUUGAGCAUCAAGAUCUAUAAGGAUAGAUCAAAAUGCUUAAUAAUACUUUCAAAUGAGCACAUACCUUGACAUGAUCUUGAAGGUGUUCAAGAUGGACCAGUCAAAGAAGGAGUUCUUGCCUGAGUUGUAAGGUACGAAGUUAAGACUUAAAGCUCGACCACGGCAGAAUAGAGAGAAAGGACGAAGAUCGUCCCCUAUGCUUAAGACGUAGGCUCUUCAGUAUGCUAUGCUGUGUACCGCACCUGAAGUGUGCCUUGCCAUGAGUCAGUCAAGGGGUACAAGAGUGAUCCAAGAAUGGCUCACAGGACAGCGGUCAAAGUUAUCCUUAGUAACUAGUGGACUAAGGAAUUUUCUCGAUUAUGGAGGUGGUAUAAGAGUUCGUCGUAAAGGUUACGACGAUGCAAGCUUGACACCUAUCCGGAUAGCUCUGAGUAGAGAGACCGGAUACAUAUAAUGGAGCAAUAAUUUAGAAUAGCUCCAAGUAGAACAGUUGUUUGGAAUAGCUCCAAAUAGAGCGUGGUAGCUGCAUCUAGGAGAUGACAUAGAGAUUUGUAAAGCACACGGAUCUGAAAGGUUCAGACCCGUUGACUAAAACCUCUCUCACAAGCAACAUGAUCAAACAUAAAACUCAUUGAGUGUUAAUCACAUAGUGAUGUGAACUAGACUACUGACUCUAGUAAACUCUUGGGUAUUAGUCACAUGGCGAUGUGACCUGUGAGUGUUAAUCACAUGGCGAUGUGAACUAGAUUAUUGACUCUAGUGCAAGUGGGAGACUGUUGGAAAUAUGCCCUAGAGGCAAUAAUAAAAGUAUUAUUAUUAUAUUUCCUUGUUCAUGAUAAUUGUCUUUUAUUCAUGCUAUAACUGUAUUAUCCGGAAAUCAUAAUACACGUGUGAAUACAUAGACCACAAUAUGUCCCUAGUGAGCCUCUAGUUGACUAGCUCGUUGUGAUCAACAGAUAGUCAUGGUUUCCUGGCUAUGGGCAUUGGAUGUCGUUGAUAACGGGAUCACAUCAUUAGGAGAAUGAUGUGAUGGACAAGACCCAAUCCUAAGACUAGCACAAAAGAUCGUGUAGUUCAUUUGCUAGAGCUUUGCCAAUGUCAAGUAUCUCUUCCUUCGACCAUGAGAGCGUGUAACUCCUGGAUACCGUAGGAGUGCUUUGGGUGUAUCAAACGUCACAACGUAACUGGGUGACUAUAAAGGUGCACUACAGGUAUCUCCGAAAGUAUCUAUUGUUUUAUGCGGAUCGAGACUGGGAUUUGUCACUCCGUGUAAACGGAGAGGUAUCUCUGGGCCCACUCGGUAGGACAUCAUCAUAUGCGCAAUGUGACCAAGGAGUUGAUCACAGGAUGAUGUGUUACGGAACGAGUAAAGUGACUUGCCGGUAACGAGAUUGAACAAGGUAUUGGAUACCGACGAUCGAAUCUCGGGCAAGUAACAUACCGCUAGACAAAGGGAAUUGUAUAUGGGAUCGACUGAGUCCUUGACAUCGUGGUUCAUCCGAUGAGAUCAUCGUGGAACAUGUGGGAGCCAACAUGGGUAUCCAGAUCCCGCUGUUGGUUAUUGACCGGAGAACGUCUCGGUCAUGUCUACAUGUCUCCCAAACCCGUAGGGUCUACACACUUAAGCUUCGAUGACGCUAGGGUUAUAAAGGAAGUUUGUAUGUGGUUACCGAAUGUUGUUCGGAGUCCCGGAUGAGAUCCCGGACGUCACGAGGAGUUCCGGAAUGGUCCGGAGGUAAAGACUUAUAUAUGGGAAGUCCUAUUUUGGCCACCAGAAAAUGUUCAGGUUUUUUCGGUAUUGUACCGGGAAGGUUCUAGAAGGUUCCGGAGUGGGGCCCACCUGCAUGGGGGGACCCACAUGAACGUGGGUAGUGGGGGCAAGGCCCCACACCCCUGGUCAAGGCGCAACAAGAUCCCCCCUUAGAAGGAAUAAGAUCAUACCCCGAAGGGAUAAGAUCAAGAUCCCUAAAAAGGGGGGAUAACAAUCGGUGGGGAAGGAAAUAAUGAGAUUUCUUUCCUGCCACCUUGGACAACGCCCCAAUGGACUUGGAGGGCAAGAAACCAGCCCCUCCACCCCUAUAUAUAGUGGGGAGGCGCAUGGGAGCUAUAGACGAAGUUCUGGCGCAGCCCUCCCCCUCUCACAAGUACUCCUCCUCUCCCGCGGUGCUUGGCGAAGCGCUGCAGGAUUGCCACGCUCCUCCACCACCACCACACCGUUGUGCUGCUGCUGGAUGGAGUCUUCCUCAACCUCUCCCUCUCUCCUUGCUGGAUCAAGGCUUGGGAGACGUCACCGGGCUGUAUGUGUGUUGAACGCGGAGGUGUCGUGCGUUCGACACUUGAUCAUCGGUGAUUUGAAUCACGACGAGUACGACUCCAUCAACCCCGUUCACUUGAACGCUUCCGCUUAGCGAUCUACAAGGGUAUGUAGAUGCACUCUCUUUCUACUCGUUGCUGGUCUCUCCAUAGAUAGAUCUUGGUGACACAUAGGAAAAUUUUGAAUUUCUGCUACGUUCCCCAACACGCGGUGCCCAGUGGUAGUACCGCUUAGGAGUCAUAGGCGGCACUACCGCUCUGUAGAAGUAGUACUGCCGGUGGGUCCUCAGCCGUAGUACCGCUGCGGUUACCAGGCUCCUACCGUGUCGAUUCGAGGGUGCCGCUUCUCGUGUCGGAUUGUGCGGCACUAAGCAGCGGCAGUAGAGCGGUAGUGCCGCUCACGAGCGGUAGUACCGCCCUACCACGGCGGCAGUACAACACUAGGCCCCUCUCUUGUUCUCUCUCCGGCCCUCCCAGACUGCAUGGCAGUAACGCCUAGGGGAGCGGUAGUACCGCUAUGCCCAGCGGUAGUACCGUUGCCUCCUGCGGUAGUACCGCCCUCUACUGGGAUGCUUUGGGGGGUAACGGUUGGAUUGUUCCCCCCACUAUAUAAGGGGGUCUUGACGGUGUCCUGGACUAGGGGGUACUCACCACGUCAUCUCCCGAUCUAUUAGAUUGGGCCAAGGACCGCCAUGGCCGUAUACUCAUGGGCCAGUCCAGACAGCUGCCGCAUACAAGGAAGAUUCCACAAGACUUGGCAAUCAAGACAAGGACUCCUCCCCACCGGCGUAUUCGGCUAGGACUCUUGUUAUCCUAGGCCUCUGGUGCAUUAUAUAAACCGAGGCUAGGCUAGUCGAUAGAACAACAUACAACAAUCAUACCAUAGGCUAGCUUCUAGGGUUUAGCCUCCUUGAUCUUGUGGUAGAUCUACUCUUGUACUACCCAUAUCAUCAAUAUUAAUCAAGCAGGACGUAGGGUUUUACCUCCAUCAAGAGGACCCGAACCUGGGUAAAACUUCGUGUCCCUUGUCUCCUGUUACCAUCCGCCUAGAUGCACAGUUCGGGACCCCCUACCCGAGAUCCGCCGGUUUUGACACCGACAUUGGUGCUUUCAUUGAGAGUUCCGCUAUGUGAUCGGCAAAAGGAUCGAUGGCUCGCCUGCAGAUCAACUGCGACUUCAGCAUCUACGUCACCAGCUCGACUGGUCACCUUGGUUCGACCAAGGACUGCGCCCUACCUUCGAUCGUCAUGUUCGGAUGAGGGCCUUCAUCAACAUCAGCUCCAAUCUCUAUCGAGCUCAUGGAGGAAUCAUCCAUGGAGCUCGAGGGCUCAACGUCAACAUUGCCCUCGGGCAGCCGUGCUUUUUUUCUGGACAGCGAAAUUGUAUCCGCCGUCACCGCCUCCUUGAGCAUCGGUUUGACGAUCUCUUCGUUGGAAUAGUGCGGAAUUACAUCUACAACAGCCAUGCAAAAUUUCGUCGAGUUCCGAUGGAUGAAUCUCCGACAAUCUACGAUAUACCGGAGCCCUGUCAAAUCUGGACGGGAAUCUGGACGAGUUUAGGGCGUGGUCUCUAGAGCCCAUCUCGGAGGUCCUUUGGAAGAUCCAACCGUUCAUCUACUGUGGAAUUCCCAUAUCUACCACCCCUCCAAAUUUCAGCUUGAUCCGACCGUCCAAACUCCGGGAACCUUCUGAUUAGUUCAUCAUUUUUCGGAUCUGUUUACUGCGCGAGAACGAAUCCCACCCGAAUUCAUCUUUUUUAUGAACGGGAUUUCGGACAUCCUUUUUGAAGAAAGUUUUGUAUGGGGUAUUAUGUUUUGUUCCCAAACACAUCCCGCUAAUUGUGAAGUCUUUUCCAACAUGAUCUUCACCAUUAUGCUGGUGUCAAACCAGUCCGGUAAUAUUGCUCCAAGGCUGCCAACCUGACACGUCGUCGCUUUGCUAAGUCGAGCUCAACUUCUUCGGAUCAUCAUAUCGGCAAGCCGAACAAGAGUUUGGCAUCGUGAAGGAUAAAUCAUCACCAACGUCACCGCUCCACGGAUUACCCGGAGCGAGCACACCGGCAUCGCCGCAGGGUCACUUCAUCAAUCCAGCAUUGGCCACGCCACGACCUGCAUCGACAGGGCCGCACUGUUGCUCCUUCAAGUCGGUGUCCAUCACGCCGACCUACUUCGACAUCUUGGCUGGACCGGGGGCUUCGCCAUCUCUUCAUCAACCUACUCCGGAGACUUCAGCGUCACUAGCCGACCAGCUCCGUCACGUUAGCUAGGCCGAGGGCUUUGCCUUGGCGAGCCAACCUUUGCCAGCAUCGCCCUGUCGUCGCUUUAUCGCCCAUCAGGCAAUGGGUGUGCGGAUCGAGUCCCAAUUUUGGGAAUCACCUUUCUUCGGAUUGCUACAACAAAUAAACCAGGUGCUAUUAAUCCUAGUAUUUUUCGCUUGUUUGGGUUCAUUUUUCCCAAGGAAUUAUUACUCUGGUUUGUCCAUCAUCUGUACACAGGUCUAUCAAAUGAUGGCCGCAUUAACGACGGUCGCGUGGUAGUUCGGUCAGUUUCCGUACAUAGUCCGGCGAAAUGCUGUAUCCAGAACUCGGACCGACCUGUGAAUUCAGGCUUUACCACGCCUUUAUCACAUCACGCCGAUGCCCUGCAUCGACAUUGACUUCGGCGCCAGGCCAUAUUUCUUUUAUUACUCACUUUGCAUAAAUUAUUUAUUAUGCAACAAUUUUUUUAAUUAUCAUUAUUACUAUUAUCUCCGGUUUGCACUAUUUUUUCUGCGCAGGAAAAUGAUCCGGGGACUUCGGCGUCACUCUGCCGGUCUGCAUUGACCGUGCUAUGUCACCACUUCGGCGUGUUGAGCUCUCCGCGCCGCCACGGGACCGGCUUGGGGGAUGGAACCUUGCCCCGCAUCAAGCUUGGACCGCGUCAUCAAUACCGAACACAUUAACCAGCUAAGUCGCUUUCAUGCUCAAAGCUUUAAUUUCUAACUUGUGUUCGGUUCGACCAAGCAUUAUACUUUUUUGGAAAAAAGUUGCUUGUAAAAAAUUUCCUUGUCCAAACUUUGUUUGUGACGCAUAAAUUCAAAUACCCAAUUCAUUUGGGGGCUUCCUUCAUGAAGCUUUUCCUCUUGCAUAUGAUUAUACUUGUACGGCUUCGUUCCUUGUUCGUGUAUUACGCCACAAUAUGCACCAUAUUGACUUAAGUGAUUUGCAAGCUGGGUUGCCUCGCUCCUGUGUUUACCCCUACGUUCCCGAUUGUUCGGCUAGGGAGUAAAGGGAGCACCUUUGCGAUUGUCACGAUCGAGUCACCCGAGCCGGACCUCAGACUGGGUGAAGCUGAAAGCUAGCGCUCUUAUAGUUUUCAUUGAUGGUCGGCACACAACGGAACUCAUGAGUACAAAAAAUCUAUUGCACAAGUCUCAUAAUAACAAUGAGCACCGAAGAAAGGUAUCGGUGGGGGUACUAUUUUCUUCGAAGAUGCUUCUUACACUUCGCAGUAAUAUAGCAUAAGUUCCCUGAGCGCGCUUUGUCUGUUACAGCCUUAUGGCCUGAUUGCCUGGUUAUUGGAAACACCAUCGAUAUUCUUGACAGAUGGAGUACAUAACACUUUUUGGUCCUUGACCGAAGAGGGAGAAGCCGACGGUCGGUUAAGACGCGUUUAAAGUUCGGUUGAACAUAGAUAUGAUAUAAGUACUUCAGUACAUGCAAUCGUUCUUUUACCCAAGUCACUUGGGGGCUCUUAAAUUUAUAUGGCCGUUUUAUGAUAAGUGUUCUUCUUCUUAGUUGUUGCCAAGUUUUUAUUACUAUUAUUAUUCAUCACUCCUUUUUUCGACACGAGUGUGUGGUCACUAGCCGGGGAGCCUAAUUUCUCCCUCACAGCCGCUAGAGUUUAGUUUGCUAAACUGGCCUAAUGAGAAGUACUCCGCCCUCGGGAUAGGAGGUUGAAGCCGUUGGCUGACCCGCUUAAAGUCUUGAGAUAGGAUGUGUCAUGUUAAAGCACGACAGAAGCACUCUUUUUUUUCGAAGACCAAUUUUUGGAUUGGCACCGAACACUUGAUCUUGUUCGGACAUCAUGUUUUUACUAACGUUUCUUGGUUUUCCAAGCUUUUUGGCACUUUUAAACUGUUUGUGUGUUUUCAGCACAAGUCUCGCAGUGCAAUGCCGGACACCUUUAGAGUUUCGGUAAAAACAUUCUCGGAUAUUGCUAUAUAUGCAUCGGUUUCGAAUUGUGUCUUCGGUCAAUAGUUGGGUUGCCCGGCUCCUGCACUUGCUUCCUACGUUCCGCUUUGUUUGGAUAGGCGUGCAAAGGGAGAACCACUGCGAUUGUGCUUUCAGCUCACAUGGUUAAGCACCUCGGUGGAGAAAGCCGAAAACUGACUGUCACAAUAAGCGUAAACUGGUCAGCGAUCCGAUGACUGUGUUAAAUGACGGGCCAUUAAUAACAAGCCGAAGUGUUUACGGCUUGACCUCGACUGUCGCCGAACACUACCGGGGGCUAUUAACUAGCCUCCCAAACUAAAUCCUCGAUAUUUUGCUCUUACACUGGAGCUGAGGUUUCAUGAUCAUGCUUAGCAUGACAACCCAAAUAAAGGAACUGAUAGCGGGACUAUUUUCUUUGGAAGACAUUUCUUCUGUUAAAUAGUAAUAUAACAUAUCUCUCUGCGUACCUUUGUUUAUAAAACCGUAUGGCCAGAUUGCCUUGUUUGUCGUAAAUCUUUGCCCUCGUAAAGGAUUUAUAAAGUAGGACAAACACUCCUCGGCUACUGGCCGAGGAGGUGGAAGCCGAUGGUCGGUCAACAAAGUUUUGUACAAUGCGGAUCCAAGCAUUAAUGACGUUAAGUACUUGGAUACAUAGAGUCAUUACACAUAAUUUGUGAUUUUACUAUGGAUAUCAAUCCUUAAUUCGGCCACCCGUGCCCGCAUUAAGGCUCGGGGGCUACUGGGCUUCGGGCUUAUUAUUUACAAAUAUUAAAGGGGCACAUCGAUCCCCUGAUCUGGUGUUGCCACCUGACCAGUGUCUCGGGGGCUACUGCAUUGCCUGUUCAAUACAGAAAAUUUUAUGUGCAAUAUAGUUUCCGUGGAGAUUUUGAUCCUCAGGUUGGUCGGCCGCACCCAACCUGAGUCUCGAGGACUGAGCACGCUGCUUUUAGUGUCCCGGAGUAUUCUGCCGAGCUAGGACUUGAUCCUCGGGUCGAUUUUGCAAAUCAACCUGAGUCUCAGCGGCUACUGGGAUCAGCGGUCUUAUGUCAUCCUUCAUGUGCAUCUCGGGUUUUAGACCGAUACCCACCUUGAGGGCUACUGGCUAUAUAUCUCGGCAGAGAAUAAAUUGCACCAAUCAAAAAUAUUGACAAAAAUCGGCCCACAUUCGAGGUGGUGCACCACCUCAGAAGCAGUCCGGCAUAAAGCUCGGGCGCUAGUGGCUGGCUCCAUAGAGGGCAUUUCAGGCAUUAAGCUCGGCUAAACUCCUUCAAACUUCUUUGAACCAAGGUGAUUUACGACACCUCGGAUACAGUCCGACGUUGGAGCUCGGAUACAUAGUCCGGCAUUGGAGCUCGGAUACAUUCCGGCAUUAGAGCUGGGAAGCAGUCCGGCGUUGGUGCCCGACUGCAAAAUAUACCUCGAAUGCAGUCUGGCGUUGGAGCUCGGACGCAAGAGGACACUGCCUCCCGGGAAGAACUUCAAACCCGAGGCGUGGCAUAAAAAUAACAAGGCAUUGAUAAAGGCCGGAGACUUAAAGGGGCCCCUCGGAUACCCGACGUGUAAACUCGUCGAAUGCAUUUCGGCGAUCCUCAAGAUCAAAGAUGAGAAGAUUUGUUGAACCAGUUUUCAAGACCGGCGACCGGCGACCGAAGAUGAAGAACAGUUCGGAAGAAUCGAGGAGCGUCCCUAACUUUAAGACCGGUUCAGGGGGCUACUAACGGUGUCCUGGACUAGGGGGUACUCACCACGUCAUCUCCCGAUCUAUUAGAUUGGGCCAAGGACCCCCAUGGCCGUAUACUCAUGGGCCAGUACGGACAGCUGCCGCAUACAAGGAAGAUUCCACAAGACUUGGCAAUCAAGAUAAGGACUCCUCCCCACAGGCGUAUUCGGCUAGGACUCUUGUUAUCCUAGGCCUCUGGUGCAUUAUAUAAACCGAGGCUAGGCUAGUCGAUAGAACAACAUACAACAAUCAUACCAUAGGCUAGCUUCUAGGGUUUAGCCUCCUUGAUCUUGUGGUAGAUCUACUCUUGUACUACCCAUAUCAUCAAUAUUAAUCAAGCAGGACGUAGGGUUUUACCUCCAUCAAGAGGGCCCGAACCUGGGUAAAACUUCGUGUCCCUUGUCUCCUGUUACCAUCCACCUAGACGCACAGUUCGGGACCCCCUACCCGAGAUCCGCCGGUUUUGACACCGACAGGUCUUCUUCCCCAAAGUUGACCUACCUAUUCCAACCCCAUGCUCCAUUGUUGCUCCAAGCUCCAUUUUCGCCCGAUCUCUCUCCCUAGCCAAUCAAACUUGUUGAUUUUCUAGGGAUUGGUUGAGAUGGCCCCGAUAUACACUUCCACCAAGAGAAAUUUGAUUCGCCCAUUAAUCCCUUGCGGAUCUUGUUACUCCUGGGUGUUUGAGCACCCUAGACAGUUGAGGUCACCGCGGAGCCAUAGUCCAGUGUGGUGAAGCUUCGUGGUGUCGUUGGGAGCCUCCAAUUAAGUUGUGGAGAUUGCCCCAACCUUUUUUGUAAAGGUCCGGUCGCCGCCUCCAAGGGCACCAAUAGUGGAAUCAUGGGAUCUCUCAUUGUGUGAGGGCGUGAGGAGAAUACGGUGGCCCUAGUUGCUUCUUGGGGAGCAUUGUGCCUCCACACCACUCCAACGGAGACGUACUUCCCCUCAAAAGGAAGGAACUUUGGUAACACAUCCUUGUCUUCACUAGCUUAUUUGUGUGGUAUCUCUUGCUUGCUAGUGUGCUAGUUGUUGUUGCAUCAUAAAGGUUGCUCACCUAGUUGCACUAGACAACCUACUUUGUUGCAAAGUUUGAAUUGGUAAAGUAAAGUUAAAAAUUGUUAGUUGCCUAUUCACCCCCGCCCUCUAGUCAACUAUAUCAAUCCUUUCAAUUGGUAUCAGAGCCUUGUCUCUUUAUUGAGGACUUUUGCCAUCCAAAGAGUAUGGUUGACACCGUAGACGGUGGUGAGGAGCACUCCGGUGUGAAUCCCAUCUCGUCUAUGGCCGAUGGGGGAACCGCGGUCUCUCGUGAAGAAUUUAAUGUGGCUUUGGACACAUUGAAAACCUCCAUGACGACCGAGGUUGAAAGCAUGUUUAAUAAAUUCAUAGAAGGGCUUAAGUUAUCCACCACACUUUGAAAGUGGGUGAUCCCACCAACAAGGUGAUGGAUGCUAACUCCGACAACGGGGAAGCUACUAAUGAAAAGGAUCCUUCUUCUAGUGGUAAAAAUGGCACAGGCAUCUUUGCCCAUGUGGAACCUCCACCUAUUUAUGGUGGACCGAUUCCUUCCACCCAUUUGAAUCAUGCCGGUCCUCCCCCUAAGAUUGUGAAAAAUGUGGACUUUGAUUCUUGGGUCUAUCGCUUUAAGUGUUAUUUAAAUCAUGUGAAUACUAAUCUUUGGAGAAUCAUUGAAGAAGGCUUCUAUCCGCAUGACCGAAGCAACUUCACGCCUAGAGAGGUCCCGGAUAAUCAAUUCAAUGAGAACACUCUCUUCAUCAUCCAAGAUGCAAUUCUACCCGAAGAUCUCCCUCAUCUUCGCCCCUACGCCAUGGCCAAAGAUGCAUCGCAUUGUGUUGUUUCCCUCUACAGGGGAAGCGCAAGCAUUCAACGCUCCAACUAUGAAGCGGUGCAAGAUGAAGCCGAUGAGUUUGCAAUGAAAGAAGAUGAAGAACCUCGUGAGCUCUAUCAGAGAGUAACCAAACUCGCGGUCUCACUCCGAGAUCACGGGAGCAAGGACACGGAUGACAAUUGGAUCAAGCGCAAGUUUCUCAAGGCAAUGAUGCCUUACCACAAGGCCAUGUCCUCCGUCAUUCGUCAGAGGCCGGACUUCCACACUUUGUCCUCAAGUGAAGUGUUGGAUGAGUUUUUGGCUAUGAGCAUCUUGGAUAAGACUGCCGACAAUGCGGUGCUACGCUCUCAGAGAGCUAAGAGGCCCAACCUUGCAUUGAAGGCCAAGGUUUGUGUCGAAAAAGAAGAAGAAGAGGAGAGCAACCUCGAAGAUACAAAGUAUGCCUAUCAUGAACACAUAGCUCUUGCUUCAAGGCAAUUUUGGAGCAAGAAGAACACAAGGCCCAACUUCAACAAGAACAACUCAAGUGGCACGAAGGUCAAGCAACGAGUAAGGACAUGCUAUAAUUGUGGCAAUGUGAGCCACUUUGUUGCGGAAUGCCCUUACGAGAAGAGGGAGGACAAUGGUGGCAAGCUCAUCCGAAAGGACAAGGCCAAGUCUUUUCCCGACAAGAGCAACUUCACCCAUACAAUGAGGAUGAUGAUGAUGAUGAAGAAGAUGGUGAGUCGGCUGCCAUGGCCUCCGUUGCCAUUGCGACAACUCCACGGGUGUCUCUCUUCGACUCACCCAAUGAGAGCAUCACUGCCAAGUGCCUCAUGGAUAAAGCCACCGACAAGGUAACCCCCAACAUCAAAACUGCCAUCAUUAACAAUCCUUCUUUGACAGAUUACAUUGAUGAACAUGAGGGUUCCAAUGUGGAGGAAAAUGAGUUUCAGUCUUUUAUGAGUAAACUCAAGGGUAAAUCCAAGGAGCACUAUGUUGCUCUAUUGGAACAACUUGGUGAAGCCAAUGACAUGAUCGAGGCUCACGAAGAUACCAUCUCUAAGAUGGAGGGGCAUAGUCGUGACUAUGCCAAUGAGAUUUCGGAUCUUUCCAAUGCUCUCGAGAAAGAGCGUGGUCUUUGUUUGGCUCUUGAGGAGUCACACAACGAUGAUCAUGCUAAAUUAAAGAAAGACCUUGAUCAUACUCUUGUUGUAUCUCGUGUGCUAAGUUCCAAGAAGGCCAAACUUGGGGUUGAUCUUGCUAGACUCAAGGAGGAGUUUGAUCUACUUGACAAGGCCCACAAGGCCUUGAAAGGUAGUCAUGAGAGCCCCAAGGAGUCUCAUGAUCAACUCCAAGUGAAGCUAACCAAGGAGAAAGCCACCUUUCCUCAUAUGGUGUUAAUUGAUAAUGCAAUGCUACUAACACUUGUUGUGAGCAUGUGCAUCUUGUUGAUGAGAACGCCAAGUUGAAGGAGCAACUUGAGAAAGGCCUUGUGUCGUGCAUUCAAGGUAAGAAGAACCUCAACGACCUUUUGAGCAAUCAAAAGGAAUGGAUUGGGUUCGCACCCAUGCCCAAGAACAAGAAGAAGAAUGACAAGACCAAACGACCUCCCCCUCUCAACCAAACCUUUGUGAAGGAGGGAGAGGGUGCUUCCAAGGAGAAGAAGACCAAUGUGAAGGGUGGUAGUGUCAAGAAAGGCAAUGCCACCCCUUCCAACAAAGCCGGCGACUUUAACCUUCUUAUAUAUUGUGCCAUGCUAGUGAUGGGCAUGUUUAUGCCAAAUUUGUUGGUUCUCUUUAUGAGUACAUUGAAUGGUCUAUUUGGGUUCCUAAGACCCUUGUCACUAACAUCAAAGGACCCAUUACAAAAUGGGUACCUAAAACCAAGCAUUGAUCUCUUGUAGGUGUUAGCUUCCGGUGGGGGAUCAUGGUUGCUCGAUAGUGGAGCUACAAAUCAUAUGACUGGAAGCAAGGACUUGGUGGUGGACGUUCACAAGAUUCCAUCUAUGCCCACCAAUGUCGAGUGGGGUGAUGCCUCGUCCUCAAAGGUAUUGGGACUUGGCAAGGUUGUCAUUUCUCAUGAUCUCACGAUCGAGAAGGUCAUGCUUAUUGAGUCCCUUGCAUACAAUUUACUUUCCGUUUAUCAACUUGCACUCAUGGGCUUUGCCACUUUCUUUGAUGUUGAUACCGUGGCCCUCUUGUGGAGCAAGACUCUUAAAGUAGCCUUUGUUUGGCAUGUCGAGAAUGGUCUCUAUGUGAUAAACUUUUCAGAGUGACCCACUAAGACCGCGACAGGCCUAAUGGCUAAAGUUGAUGUGGGAUGGCUUUGGCAUCGCCAUUUAGCCCAUGUCAAUAUGAGAUCUUUGCCAAGUUUUAUCAAGGGGGCCAUGUCCUUGGACUAACGAAUGUUAGUUUUGCUAAAGAUCAUACUUGCAGUGCGUGUAUCGAAGGAAAGCUACAUGAAAAGGCUCACCCUCCCACGACUAUCAUUUACUCAAAGAGGCCGUUGGAGCUCCUUCAUAUGGAUCUCUUUGGGCCUCCAUCCUUUGAUAGUCUUGGGGGUAGAAAGUAUUGUUUGGUGAUUGUGGAUGACUAUUCAAGAUACACUUGGGUUUAUUUCUUCAAAAGGAAGAGCGAGACCCAACAAACCGUCAUUAACUUUGCAAAUGAAGCCCAACGUCAACACAAUGCAAAUAUCUUGACAAUAAGAAGUGACAACGGCACCGAAUUCAAGAACUACACCUUAGAUGAGUUUCUUAGUGAUGAGGGGAUCAAGCAUCAACAUUCCGCACUAUACACCCCUCAACAAAAUGGUGUUGCGAAGAGGAAGAACCGGACAUUGAUGGAUGCGGCGAGAACCAUGAUGGCAGAGUUCAAGUCCCCAUACAACUUUUGGGCCGAAUCCAUCAACACCGCAUGUUAUGCAUCAAAUCAUCUCCAUCUCCGCAAAGGCUUGAACAAGACUCCAUAUGAGAUACUCACUGGUAACAAUCCCAACCUCAUGUACUUUCGGGUGCUCGGGUGUAAGUGUUUCAUUCUCAAGAAAGGUGUUCGUUUGUCUAAAUUUGAGGCUAGAGCUCAUGAGGGUAUAUAUGUUGGUUAUGCUACAAACUCCCAUGCUUACCGUGUUCUCAAUAAGUCUACGGGCCUUAUUGAGGAGACGUGUAACGUGGAGUUUGAUGAGAAUAACGGCUCCCAAGUGGAGCAAAGUGGUACUUGUGAUGUAGGUGAUGAAAUUCCUCCCCAAGCCAUAAGAAGAAUGGGUGUUGGUCAUAUCCUACCCAUUGAGGAACCCCUUGUGGCCGAAGGAGAAGGACAAUGUAACACUCAAGUGGAACCAUCACCAACCCAAGACCCACACGCUUCCGAAGAACAAAGUGAAGGCCCUCAACCUCAUGAACAUGACCAAGGGCGAGAUCAACCUCAAGACGGUGUUGAGUCAGCAAGUGAUGCCCAAGGUCAAGUUCUCUCCUUCGAGCAAGUUCAAGAUCAAGAGCAAGAUCAAGAACAAGCUCAAGACGGGGCUCAAGAUGAUUUAGUGACCGCUCCUCAUCUCUCACCGAGGAGAAUUGGAGCGUCAUGCCGCCAAGAUUGCAUCCAAGCUCACAACCAAGGGUCAUCUCAUGACUAACGUGCUUGGAAGCAUUCGAAAGGGGGUAAGAACUCGUAGACAAUUGGCAAACUAUUGUGAACAUCAUGCGUUUGUCUCUUGUCUUGAACCCCAAAAGGUCUAUGAGGCGCUCGAAGAUCCGGAUUGGCUCAAUGCCAUGCAUGAAGAACUCAACAACUUCGAGUACAACAAGGUGUGGAUAUUGGUACCAAGGCUAACGGGGAACCAUAAUGUCAUUGCAACCAAGUGGAUAUUCAAGAACAAGCAAGAUGCUCACGGAAUCAUCAUUCGCAACAAGGCCCGUUUGGUAGCACAAGGCUACUCCCAAGUUGAGGGCAUCGACUAUGGUGAAACCUUUGCUCCCGUUGCUCGCCUUGAAUCCAUUCGCAUGUUGAUUGCUUAUGCUUCUUAUCAUAACUUUAAGUUGCAACAAAUCGAUGUGAAGAGUGCUUUUCUUAAUGGUCCCAUCAAUGAGUUGCUGUAUGUCAAACAACCCCCCGGGUUCGAGGAUCCCUACUUCCUGAAUCAUGUGUAUCAACUCGAUAAGGCACACUAUGGCCUUAAAUAAGCCCCACGUGCGUGGUAUGAUCACCUUACCGAGUUGUUACAAGAUCAUGGUUUUGAAGUUGGGAAAAUUGACCCCACUCUUUUUACUAAGAAGGUCAAAGGGGAGUUGUUUGUGUGCCAACUAUAUGUUGAUGAUAUUAUCUUUGGUUCCCCUAACAAAGCUUUCAAUGAGGAAUUUGCCGCUCUCAUGACCUCUAAGUUCAAAAUGUCUUCAAUGGGAGAGUUGUAGUUUUUCCUUGGAUUCGAAGUCAAACAAAGAAGAGAAGGAACCUUUAUCAACCAAGCCAAAUACACUCAAGACAUGCUAAAGAGAUUCAAGCUAAGUGAUGUCAAGACGGCUUCCAAUCCAAUGCCCGCAAAGUGCCAACUUGACAUUGAUCCCAAUGGUAAAGCGGUGGAUCAAAAGGUAUAUCGAUCCAUAAUUGGCUCCUUGCUUUACCUUUGUGCAUCCAUACUGGAUAUCAUGUUGAGUGUGGGAAUUUAUGCGCGGUUUCAAGCUGCACCUAAGGAAAGCCACUUUGUGGCGGUCAAGCAAAUCUUUCGAUAUUUGGCUCAUACCCCAAACUUUGGCUUAUGGUACCCAAGAGGAGCAAACUUCAAUCUUGAAGGUUAUCCGGACUCGAAUUGGGCGGGAGACAAAGUGGAUAGGAAGUCCACUUUCGGAGGGUGUCAAUUCCUUGGUUGCUCUUUGGUAAGUUGGUCUUCUAAGAAGCAAAGUUGUGUGUCUCUCUUGUCCACCGAAGCAGAGUAUGUGGCGGCCGGUAGUUGUUGUGCACAACUCCUAUGGAUGAGGCAAACUUUGAAGGAUUACUAUGUCAAUUGUGACAAAGUGCUUCUUUGGUGUGACAAUGAAAGUGCCAUCAAGAUUUCUCUCAACCCGGUGCAACACUUCAAGACGAAGCACAUUGAGAUUCGGUAUCACUUCAUCCGGGAUCAUAUUUGGCGAGGGGAGAUCGAGCUCAACUACGUCAACACACAUGAUAAACUUGCAGAUAUUUUCACGAAGCGCUUGGAUGAAGCAAGAUUUCGCGAGUUAAGGCAUGAGCUAAAUAUCAUUGAUUUGAGCAAUGUGACUUGAACCCUUGCACACCCCACCAUACUCUACUUGAUGUCUAGUUUAGGUGUAGGCAUGGACAUAGGGGGAGUGUUGUUCUCUCAAUGAACUCUCCCUCCCCUCAUCAUGCAUAAAUUGAUAAAAUCUUUCACAUUAGCCAUUUUUUAUGGUACUUGUGCUCCAAAGAUGAGUUUUGGUCAUGGGCCCAAGGAUAAUUCUUCGCGGUGCCAUACCAGUUGACCCAAACAUAGGUGGCUCCGGCUACUGCCCACUCCUUGGAGAGGUUCUGUCUCGUGUUUGGUCCUUGUUGUCUCUUGCCAUUCUUUUUUUGUUGCAGAGUUUUGGUUUCCUCUUCUUUCCUUUUUGCUUUCGUUCUUUUUGAGCCGAGUCUUUUGGUGUCUAGUCGUUGAGUCUCGCUGGAUGGUACAACCGCUGGUAGUGCACGGUACUACCGCUUAUAGCGGUACUACCGCCCACCCGAGCGAUACUACCGUUGGGGGCGGGACCAGGGGGUUAUGUCGGGGCAGGGGGAGGUUUCGUCUCUCCCAUACCCAUUCGCACAACCCUCUUGUCUCUCUUCGUCUCUCCAGCGCCAACUCACCGUGGGAGGGCUCCGGCGGGCCGCCCUCUUCGGGCCAUACCUCUCCAUUUCCUUUGGUGGAGUCGAUCCCCACCCCGUCCUCUUGCCAUGGAUGCCGGUAUUGCCCCCGUUCCUCCUCUCCUUUUGUCUAGUUUUCAGAUCUAGCGUCUUUGGGGCAAUAGUGAUGGCAUCUCUCGAUUUUUGGCUAAAUCUAGGCUUGAGUAGGUUGGAGGAGGCGGCUAGACUGUAUGGAUUAAGUUGUGGUAGGAGUAUUUUUGAAUUUGGCAGUCCGGUAGUGCCGGAUUUGACCACGGCAGUAGGGAACCGCCGGUUCCCACUCUUGACCGGCACUACCGCUCCUAGUGGAGCGGUACUACCGCUUAUGGCCAGCGGUACUACCACUGCAUGCAUGCCCGACUCCAUCUUUUUCCGACCACUUUUUGAUUCAUGUUGUUUUGUUUGGAGGCUUAUGCUCUUUCUUUUGUGUUCGUUCUUCUGUUCGUGUGUUUGGUUCCAGGUGAUGAACAUCCUGAGCAGCAAGUCCGCCGUGUCAAUCCCGGAUGUGCAACGUCAAAGAGCUAUGGCACCUCUGAGUCGGUGGGUGCUUCCUCAAGUGCUCCACCUCCGCCACAACUCUAGAAGAAAUCUGCCAACAGGACGACGCCAAGGGGCAAGACUGUGACUAAGUUGACUACCAAGGAUUUCUGGGAAAAGCGUCGCCGCAACCCUAUGCGGAAGACCAAGAACCCAAUUUGGUCAACCACCCGUUCUGGAACCACUUUCAGUUUUCCAUCUACUUUCAUGUGAUCAAGGCCAAGAAGAAUCUCUAUGUUGAUGUUCGCUCCAUCGACACGGAUGUCAUGGAAAGGACCCUGAGUACUUUGGUGAAGCCCUUCAGAUGUGUUCUCAGCUGAACAUUCUCAGAAUCAUGCAGUUCAACAAGGAUUUUGAUGCAUAUUUGGUGGCUCAAUUCUAUGCUACUGUCCAUCUUGGAACUGAUGCAGAAAGGACUCUGACUUGGAUGAGGCAAGUUGCUUUCUGUCAAGUGGAAGGCCUUCAUGGAGUUACUUGGAGUGGAAGAUCACGGUCUUGAGACUCAGUCGACUUCCGCCCUCACCGCAAUGUUUCCUCCACUCACAAGCAAGCCCUCUGGCCCUACUGUUCUGUGAAGGUUAACCCUGUGACUAAGAAGGAAACCUAUGAGCUGUCUACCUUUCUGGACAUCCUUCAUCGUGUCUUUCGAGAGACUCUCUUCCCUUGCAUCGGGAAUCUAGAUAUGGUCCACUCCUAUCUCGUGGACAUGCUUCUCUUCUGCCAGCAUGAGAAGGAAGCAAACACUAGCGAGUCCCUAGACAUUUCUCAUGUUAUGUGGUCUGAACUUCUUACUGCCAUUUCUGAGCGCAAGUGCCCGAUCUAUGGUCCGUUCAUCAUGCUGCUCAUUAAGAAGGCCUGGGCACGUGUCUAUCCCAAGGUUAUGCUGGAAACUGGAGAAUUGGUUUCUCAGGAGAUCAAGCGUCUAAGGAAGAAGGACAAUUGGGGCACCCCAGCUCCUAAAUCCGGGGGUCCAUCUACUGCUGCUGACAUGGAGACUGAGGGUGGGGCUGAGGCCGAUGAUGACGAUGAGGACUAUGAGCCUUCUGGAGCAGAGCCCUCUUGGGCAAAGAAGCUCAAGCGCAAGAUGAAGAAGCUCUUCCUGCAUGGAGUCUCAUGGUCAGUACAUGAAUCAUGUGGCUGAGAAGCAGGCCAGGGGGCGUCACAAGGAGCUCAUGCGUCAGCUAGGUGCGACCAUCGCCAUUGGUUUUGAGGGCCAAAUCACCGAGGAGGAGGAGUGGAUUCAGCAGCACUGUCCAUGGACCGAUUCAGACACCGAGCAAUUUCCAAUUGAGGAUGGGAGUGCGGAUGACCCUGCCAGGAUGUGAUGAGAGAGCUCCUCAGUUUGCUAUCACCUGGAGCCAUAGCGUCGCUCUUUUCCCUUUUGGUGUCUCGAUGCCAAAGGGGGAGAGAGUUUAGGGAUUUGAGCAUUGUGGUGUCAUCGUUUCGUCGUUUCUCGUCAUUUCUGUGUUUUCUUGUCACUUGCUUUGUUUGGUUUUGUGCCAGUGAGACCUAAAUUCCAGACAUAUGGUGUGAGACAUAUGAUUCUUAUCUUUAUCUAUGUCUUUCUAGCACUUUGGUAUGGUAUCUUAUGAGUUGCUUGCUUAUCUUGUUAUAUACCCUGCUCUCAUGUAUCCUUUGCUUAGGUUGUUGGACUAUAAAAUAUAGGGGUAGUGUUGAUCCAAAUGUGUGUGUCUUGUAUUCCAAAGGCACUACUAACUAGGUGCACACAUUCAGGGGGAGCCUGUCUAUAUUUUGUAGUUCUUAGUAUCUUUACUUUCAUGUUGUAUCCUUGUGUAAAUCCUUGGUUGUCAUCAAUCCACCAAAAAGGGGGAGAUUGUUAAGGCAUAUCUCUCUAGAUGUAGUUUUGGUGAUUGAUGACAACAUGUUUGCGGACUAAUCAUGUGCUUUGAGCUUUUCAGAGAUUCAUACUUGGCACGAGACGAUUUCUUUCCCCUUGGAGUGUUAUUCCAGACGGUGUACCUCUUUCGUUUCUACUUUGGUGAACUAGUUCCCUAGGAGUCACCGUACUAUCAAGAGGGGGCCGCUUUGGUAAGGCUAGGGUGGAAUCAACACGUACACAUCCUUUUCACACCCUGUGAGCCUUUCCGCUUCAAUGGAGAGCUCUUUCCCCUUUCUUUGUGCAUCGUCUGGUCCUAGCGGUAGUACUGCGGUGCCCAGCGGUAGUACCGCUUAGGAGUCACAGGUGGAAGUACCGCUCUGCAGUGGUAGUACCGCCGGUGGGUCCUCAGCCAUAGUAACGCUGUGGUUACCAGGCUCCUACCGCAUCGAUUUAAGGGUGUCGCUUCUCGUGUCGGAUUGUGCGGCACUAAGCAGCGGCAGUAGAGCGGUAGUACCGCCCUACCACGAUGGCAGUACCGCACUGGGCCUCUCUCCUAUUCUCUCUCCGGCCCUCCCAAACUACACGGCAGUACCGCCUGGGGGAGCGGUAGUACCGCUAUGCCCAGCGGUAGUACCGUUGCCUCCUGCGGUAGUACCGCCCUCUGCGGGCUGCUUUGGGGGGUAACGGUUGGAUUGUUCCCCCCACUAUAUAAGGGGGUCUUCUUCCCCAAUGUUGACCUACCUCUUCCAACCCCAAGCUCCAUUGUUGCUCCAAGCUCCAUUUUCGCCCGAUCUCUCUCCCUAGCCAAUCAAACUUGUUUAUUUUCUAGGGAUUGGUUGAGAAGGCCCCGAUCUACACUUCCACUAAGAGAAAUUUGAUUCCCCCAUUAAUCCAUUGCGGAUCUUGUUACUCUUGGGUGUUUGAGCAACCUAGACGGUUGAGGUUACCGCGGAGCCAUAGUCCAUUCUGGUGAAGCUUCGUGGUGUCAUUGGGAGCCUCCAAUUAAGUUGUGGAGAUUGCCCCAACCUUGUUUGUAAAGGUCCGGUCACCGCCUCCAAGGGCACCAGUAGUGGAAUCACGGCAUCUUGCAUUGUGUGAGGGCGUGAGGAGAAUACGGUGGCCCUAGUGGCUUCUUAGGGAGCAUUGUGCCUCCACACCGCUCCAACGGAGACAUACUUCCCCUCAAAAGGAAGGAACUUCGGUAACACAUCCUCAUCUUCACCGGUUCCACUCUUGGUUAUCUCGUGGCUUUACUUGUCUGCCGGUGAGAGGCGUGGAGCCUCUCCUCUCGGUGGGGGAGGCCGUGGCCGCGGUGGUCGAGGUGGCGCAGGGGGGCGAUCUGCGCCUAUCCGUCCCCCGCGCCGGCAACUCCACUCCUCCGACGCGGCCUCCGAAUUCGUGAUGUGGGUGGAGAAGCCCGGCAGCAUGUGGCUUCGGCUUCCCCGCUGGUUCCACGCCGAACUGCCGGAAGAAGGGCCCGACGGCGUUUGGCUGCAGGCCGACGGGUGCUGUAACGGAGCUUUCUGGGUGGGGGUCGAGGUCCUCACUUUAGGCGACGUGUUCCUUGGUCGUGGCUGGCAAUCCUUCGCCCAUGCGCGCCGGCUGCGGGGAAAGUGCACCCUCCACUUCAGGUACGACGGGGUGUCAUCGCUGCUCGUCAAGGCCUUCUCGGAGGGAGGAAGGCGCCUUGGGUGUUGCCCAGAGGUAGACAACGACGAGGAGGGUGGCGACGGCGUCCUGAGGAGUAGCUCUCCCUCUGAAGACGAGCUCGGCCUCGGCAGGCUCCGCAGGUCCCCCCUCUGUGGCAGCAGCAGCUCCUCCAGCAGCGGCAGCUAUCCUGGGUGGCCGCUCCGCCGUGCCUGGCUUGCCGAGGAGGAGGGGCCCUCGCGCCGCAGCUCUUCGAUGAAGCGCGAGGAGUAGGGCUCCGUCUUGGUUGAGGUGCUGAUUACGCCGAUCCACGAGCUCCGAACCCGCCUGGCCCUUGUUUUUGAUUUUCUUCAUUUCCUUCCUGUAUUUAGUUUUAGCUGCCUCGGGUGGGCGUGUAAUGAACAAUGGCAUGUAUGCAUGAAAUGGAAGUCUUCUAUUAUUUACGUUCUGGAUGAAAUUACUUAACUUGUGUACCGCGCUCGUCGUGAGACGAAGUCCUGAGGCGGGUGGCCUCCUGAUGUCACGAGCUCCCAGGCGAGUCAUGAGGACCGCCGGGCUCGGAGCCCCCGAGUGUAGAUGAGCCUUGGUGAGUUGAGGAGGGCUCGCGCCCUUGAGCUUACUUGAGAGUGCGGAGCGAGUACUGAUAUGCCAAGGCCUGAGCAGGCUUGGCGAAGUAAGUCAUGAGGGUUGAAGAGCCUGACGCCAGAGCCUGAGCAGGCUUGGCAAGGUGAGGUCGUGAGGUCACGAUAGCCGAGAGCUGAGACCGGCCAUAUCCCAGCCCCCACGCCCGAGGCGCACGAGGGAGGACAAGCGGCGUAGCCCGGCCCGAAGAACUAAACUUGAGAGCAGUGCGAGAAAAAUGAGCAAAACUAGAACAAACCGCGAUAAGCUCGAAAAACUUCAUAGCAUGGGGUAGAGGAAGGGCUGACAUCCAAGGAAGUAGAAAAGGCUGACAGCCAAACACCAAGGCGAAAAAAGAAAAAAAGGUCGUGUCCGACCCCUAGCUACGUCUUCUUCCCAGCGCGGAGCUAACAACUGCCACUGGGACGUGGGUGGGAGCCCGAUCUGAGGGCCCGUAGGCAACGCAUAGGAGACUCCAAGGCGUGUACAGCCCCAACUCAUUAUUACGUGAGAGUGUCACGAGCGGAGACCUUCAUGGGCACGGAGCCUUGAUUGUCUUCACGGGCACAGAGCCUUGAUUAUGGAUAGAACCUCCUGAGGUGCCGAAUGUUCCAGGAAUUCUGGAUGAGUAUCCCAUCCUGCAUCUCCAGGCGCACAACGCCAGGCCUAGAGACACGGGCGAUUCUGAACGGGCCCUCCCACAUAGGUGAGAGCUUGUGUAGCCCUUCGCUGGAGAGGACCCGCCUCAGGACCAAGUCUCCAACUUCCAAUGUUCUCGAGUGGACGCUGCGGCAAGGAUACCGCCGCAGCGCCUGCUGAUAUCGCGCUGCCCUGAGCGCAGCUCGGCGGUGGCUCUCCUCGCCGAGCAUGAGGUCCAUCCGCCAGGCGGCGUCCCGGCGUUCCUCAUCGAAAGCCAAGACCCUUGAGGAUCAACGCUUGACCUCGUGAGGGAGGACCGCCUCCGCACCAUAAAUGAGAAAGAACGGGGUUUCUCCCGUAGGUUUGGUUGCGGUGGUGCGGAUCGACCACAGCACGGACUGGAGCUCGUCGAUCCAGCCCCUGCCGCAGGCCUCGAGCUUUUUCUUGAAGCUGCGCGUCUUGAGGCCGCACAGGACCUCUGCGUUGGCGCGUUCGGCAUGCCCAUUGCUCCUGUGGUGGGCCAUUGAGGCGUACCAGAUCUGCGUUCUUGGGUUAGCACAAUAUGAUCUAAAGAGAUUGCUCGUGAACUGCGAACCGUUAUCUGUGAUGAUGCGGUUGGGGACACCGAAGCGGGUCACGAGGCCUUUGAUGAACUUGACUGCCGAUCCUGCGGGAAUCGUGCGCACCGGCUCCACCUCGGCCCACUUAGUGAACUUGUCGACAGCGACAUAGAGGAAACGGUAGCCCCCUGCCGCUCAGGGGAACGGUCCCAGGAUGUCCAGCCCCCCAGACCGCGAAGGGCCAAGAGAGCGGGAUUGUCUGAAGAUCUUGCGCUGGCUGAUGGAUUGGCUUGGCAUGAAACUGGCAUGCCUCGCAGGCUCGCACGAGCUCCGUGGCGUUGUCCAACGCUAUGGGCCAAUAGAAGCCGCUGCGAAAGAUCUUGCCCACGAGGGUGUGGGACGAGGAAUGAUGGCCGCAAUCCCCUCCGUGGAUGCCGGCCAGCAACUAUUGUCCUUGCCUCCUCGAGAUGCAUUUUAGCGAGACGCCAUUAGGGCGCCUCCUGUAGAGCUCACCGUCUUGGAUGCAGUAGGCCGUGGCCUGCCGAGCCACGCGUUCCGUGCCUUCCUCCUUCUCCGGCAAGGUGCCGUGCAGUAGGUAUGCCUUGAGUUCCUCAGUCCAGCAAUCUUCCUCAGGUUCGGCGGCGAGCAGCAGGCGGGCUCCGGAGGGCGGUCCACAGGGUGGUGCGCCGACCUCGGGAGCCGCCGGCAGCCCCUCAUGCGUGGAUGCCAGCUCUGGAGUAGGUGGUGCUGCCGAUGUCCUGAGCAAUCGCUCCUCGAAGACACAUGGUUCCUGCGGCUCUCGUUGGGAGGCCCGCUUGGCGAUGUCGUCUGCUUCCUUAUCCGUGCCCCUCGGCACGUGCUGCAGCUCUAGUCCUAGGAACCGCUUCUCCAUCUUGCGCACCUCCUCCAGAUACGCUUCCAUGUGCUCGUCCUUGGGCUUGUACUCUUUGUUAGAGAAGUUGACGAGGAGCUGCGAGUCGCCUUUGAUGGUGAGACGCUUUACCCCUAGUGCGGCCGCGGCCUUGAGCCCGGCGAUUAGGCCCUCGUACUCUGCAAUGUUGUUGGAGACCUUUUCGCCAUGCUAGAAGCAAAGUUGCACAGCGUAGCGGAGCUUGUCCUGAGUGGGUGAUACCAGCACGGCGCCAGCCCCCGCGCCGAGGCGCGAGAAGGCACCAUCGAAAUAUACCACCCAUCCUUCUGGAGUUUCAUCGCUCGGGGCCAGCGAGCGGUCCUUACCAGCCCCCUGGUCCGGAGCAUCGGUCCACUCUGCCACGAAAUCAGCCAGCGCUGCCCCCUUGAUGACCCGCGUGGUGCUGAACUCCAGCUAGAACGCCUGCAGCUCCAUGUUCCACUCAGCAACCCUCUCGACGAUGUUCGGGCCCUAGAGUACCUUUUCCAGGGGGCAGGCUGAGACGACCUUGAUGGGAUGGCCUUGAAAAUAGUGGUGCAGCUUCCUAGAAGCAAUGAGGAGCGCCAGCAACAGCUUCUGGGCAUGGGGUAGCACGAGCGAGCGUUGUGGAGCACGGUGCUGACGAACUACACGGGGUGCUCCACAAGGGUUGGUGAUGCGGGAUCCUCGGGCGCUUUUGAUGACUCAGGAGCUUCACAUAGGCCGGCAGGGUCGCUAGACGUUGCGGCCAUGUCGGCUCCGAAGGUCGUGUCAUAAGGCAGCGGAGUUCCGGAGGGCAUCGGGUCGUUCCACGAGCUCUGGCCCCUGACCCUUUCCUCUUGAGCCACUACCAGCGCCGCGCUGGCGUAGUGAGGCGUAGCGGCGAGAUAAAGGAUCAAGGGCUCCUGAGGCCUUGGUGCCACCAUAACCGGCGGGCUGGUGAGGUUCCCCUUGAGAUCUUGGAAGGUAGUGUCGGCCUCCGGAGUCCACUCAAAAGGCCCCUUCCUCUUCAUGAGCUUGAAGAAGGGGAGGGCGCGCUCGCCGAGCUUCGAGAUGAAACGCCCCAAGGACGUCACACAUCCCGCAAAGUUUCUGCAUUUGCUUCAGGGUCGUGGGCGGCUUCAUUCUCUCGAUGGCUUUGACUUUCUCCGGGUUGGCUUCAAUGCCUCGGUGCGAGACCAGGAAUCCCAGCAGCUUGCCCGAGGGGACCCCAAACACACAUUUUUUCCGGGUUGAGGCAUAAGUUCACCUUGCGCAGGUUGGCGAAGGUUUCCUCCAAGUCCCCGAUAAGGGUCUUGGCCUCCUUGGACUUGACCACGAUGUCGUCGACGUAGGCCUCUGCGUUCCUCCCGAGCUAAGGGCCGAGGGUGAUAUGCAUCAGCCGCUGGAGGUGGCGCCUGCGUUCCUCAGCCCGAAAGGCAUGCAGAUGUAGCAAUAGGUCCCGCAUGGGGUCAGGAACGACGUCUUCUCUACCUCUUGUACUGCCAUUUUGAUCUGGUGGUAGCCCGAGAAGGCGUCGAGGAAGCAAAGCAGGUCGCACUCGGCCAUUGAGCCCACGAUCUAGUCGAUGCCGGGGAGAGGGAAUGGGUCCUGAGGGCAGAACUUGUUGAGGCUUGUAAAGUCGACGCACAUGCGCUCUUUGCCUCCUUUAUUCGGGAUGAUGACGGGGUUGGCCAACCAUUCUGGGUGGCGCACCUCCCGGAUAAUGCUUGCUUCUUCCAGCUUCCGGACCUCCUAGAGGAUGAAGGCCUGCUUUUCUGGAGCUUGCCGCCGUGCCUUUUGCUUGAUAGGUCGUGCGUUCGGGCACACCGUGAGGUGGUGUUCGAUGACGUGCCUUGGUACCGCGACCAGGUCGGUUGCCUUCCAUGUGAACACGUCCUUGUUCGCCCCGAGGAAGGCCACCAACGCCUCCUCUUGCUCUAGAAGCAGGCCCGCACCGAUGGUGAAAGUGGAUCUCGCGUCUCCCUCAUCGACGGGUACCUGCUUGGUCUCGGCACGAUCCUGAGAGAAGAGUUGUUUCUUUUUGGCUGGAGUGGCUUCGGCAGCCUCCAGAGCCCCCUCUGCGCUUGGGGACCUGAAGGGCGGCCUUGGUGUCUCCUUUGAUGGUGAUGGUGCCACUGCUCCCGGGCAUCUUGACAAUGUUGUAGCCCGGGUGAAUCGCUGCCAUGAACUUGGCCAGGGCCGGGAAGCCGAGGAUGGCGUUAUAGGGCAGGUGGAUAGGCGCGACGUCAAAGUCGAUGAUCUCGGUCAGGUAAUUGGCGUGCGUCCCGAAGGUGACGGGGAGGCGGACCUGCCCGAGCAGAACGGCCGAGCCCGCGACCCCCGAGAAGGGUUUGGUGGGGAGGAGCCGCCCAUAGGCCACCAGCAGGCGUCCAAAGGCCUCCGCAGAGAGGAUGCUGAGCCCGGCGCCGCCGUCGACGAGGGUCCUUGUGACGGCCACCCUGUAGAUGGUGGGGGUACAUACCGUGGGGCGGAUGCAUGUGCCGGUUGUAGCUCUAGUGCGGUCACCGGGGCCGAAGGCCAUGGCGUGCCCCUGCGCGUCUAGCCCCCGUGGGGCCUCCUGCGGCCGAGCGGCAGCCCCCAGCCGCCGAAGGUGUGAUUUAGCAUGAUGGGCCGACGCCGGCGCCUGGGAUCCUCCGAUGAUGCAGGCGACCCCGCGGCAUGGUGGCGCCCCGCCGGCAGCGUCCAGCAGCUCGCCGAGGCGAGCCACCCAAGCGUCAAGUCCCACCACAGGCGGCUGGUGUCGGAGCAUCUCCUGGGCCGUUAGAAGCGCCGCCGGCGAGGCCAGGGGAAGCGGGAGUGGCGUAGCGGGCCGCUCCCCAGUGGCUGGGCCGAUGAUGGGGUCGUCGACAUGGAGGACGAAGCGCCCGUGAGCGACGCAGUCCGCCGACGCCGCCCGGGCAAUGAGAACGGCUCCAGCCUCCACGCGGAUGUAGCAGGCAGGUGUCGCCAUGAUGACGUAGGGCAGAAGAGGGGAGGCGAGGUCGUCGGAGAGGCGAGAUUUCGACACACCCCCUACCUGGCGCGCUAAAUGUCGGAUUUCGGGCUCCGCAAAACCCUCAAGAUUCGAACACAGAGGCGUGACGAAGAUCUCUCCCACUACACAUCUACCUAGCGCCACGCUCUUCUCCUGGUGGUGGGAAUAGAAUGCAAGCAAGCAAACAACUAGAGCACACAAGAGUUUACCCAGGUUCAGGCCACCUUGCGGUGUAAAACCCUACGUCCUGCUUUACUGGAUUGGCCUCGCAAGGGCUCGAGUAUGAACAAAUAUAGUGGUUUCCUGAGCUCAGGAGGCGAGCUCAAGAGGGGUGAGGGAGCGGAUGUUCUUGCUCCUUUGCUAUGCUAAGUCCCAAUGGGUCUCUCCCCUAUGUUAGGAACCCUAGCUACUUAUAUAGGCGGCCAGGGUCCUCUUCCCCCGAAAUGUUUAGGCGGGAAGGGAAUCCCACAACGGCCAUUUGAGUGGGAACACAAGGACGCUCCUAUCCUGACAAAAGGUGGUCUUCGCCUGCAAAGAGGGCAGGCAGUGACGCGGUUGUGGGCUCGGCGAUGACAUCCUUCCUGCCGUCCUUGCGGUCUUCGGUCUUAUUGCACCAAAGGGGAAACCUUUGCCCGGACCCUCUGGAACAUGCGCCUGUGCAGUCUCCUUUGCACUGAUAUGGAAACUGCGCCCGCUGGCACGCGCUGGCGCCCGCUGGCACGAUUCUUCAUGGCUUGCGUCACUGCCUCCUCCUGAGGCAGCCCUUGCCUUGAGAUCUCUGCCCUCCCGAAGCAGCCUAGCUGAGGCCACUCUUGGGAGAGGUCUUAGUUGCCCCUCCGGAGCGGCCUAGGUGAGGCCGCUCCCUGAGGAGGUCCUGGUCGUUCUCCUCGCGAUGGCUGGCCCCCUCGCGAGGGUCUUGAGCAGCUGGUCGAUCAGCUGGGCUCUGCCGGGCCAUACCAGGAAUGCGACGUGGGCCGCAGGCAGGCAAGUCUGGGUACCCUGGUUCCCAGUACGCCGACAGUAGUGGCUAGUAACUCGAACACUAAACCAAGACAGGACUUUGGGGUUGUCUCACUAUCUUCAAGAUAGUCUUCCUUAGCUGUUUUAUCAGCUUUGUUGGAGACCAACAAGGAUGUCUCACUAUCCUGAACCUUAUCUGCAUUACUUCCUUUACCAUUUCUUAAUAAGGCACUCUUCCCCAAUAUUCUGUCUGCAUUCUAAAAGAAGAAACAAGCAGACACAUAACAUGUUUAGCAUGUACUAGUAUAUGAAACUCAUUUCGGUGAACCAGUUCAUUAGUAAGGUGGACAGGAUUAAACUACCAAGUCUUCUUUUGCCAAGUACUAGUACAUAAUAAAAGCAUCAAACAAACAUAUAUCUGUAUCCUAUGGUCACUGCAUUGUCUUGCCAAAUCAAAAUAGAGACACAGUUCAAAUCAUAUAAGUUCAAGACAAAGCAGGAGUGAAAGAAUACAAAGCGUGGGAAACUACACGGCACAACAAGAUUUCAGAUGGGUACUACAGGUCUACAUGUACAACAACACUACUGGCUCUGUUGUGAUGCUAGUAUACACAAUUGAAAUGGAAAUCAACAGAGCUAUUGAUAAGAGCAAACAUGUUAAAGAAACAUGCGUGAACAUACCUGCUGUGCCAUUGGAGUUUUGAUUGGAUCCUUCAAUUUAAAAAUAAGUUUGUAUGAGUAAAUACAGUGAUACAAGAGCAAAGCAGUAUGCACGAUAGCAAUCAUAGUUAAAAAAGGCGCACCUAAGUGAGCGCUUAAGCGCGCCUAGGCUCUAGGCAUUGGCAAAACGCAUUGCGCAUAACUACACUUAACCUAUGCAUAACUGCGCAUAAGCAUGCGCUUUGGUCAGUAAAGCGCAAGGCGGUGGCAAAAUGCACAAUUAACGCCUAGCGCUUUUUGGAACUAUGAUAGCAAUGGAAUCUUAAAUUAGAACAGUUGUUCUUCAGGUUUAGGCACUUGUUCUACAUGAACAGAGUACAGUAAGACGCAAGAAUAUAGUACUUAAAAAUAGAAAAUGAGCUCAUAGACCUUACCACAUUCUUGGUUCGGCACCAGUACAGAACAAGGCAUUCCCAGUCAUCGUCCAGUAAAUGUGUCUCAGGAGAACAUAAGGGAAUUUGAUGAGUUUGUUUGCCAGUGAAGUACAUUUUCUUCAGGUAAUUCCGAUACUGCCACCAAGCAUUCUUGAAGAUAGCAGAGGUAUUACCACAGGUUACCUCAUCCCAAGUUUCCAAAUCGGUCCUUCUCUAUAGAGAAAAAUGGGAAAAUUUGCUGUAUUAUAACCAUCAUGGAGGUAGGAUGUAUGGGACAAAGCAAAGUAAUUGCCAUGAAUAACAUUACUUACACGUAACUCCUAGACAAACACCUGCAAUUGGCAUUUUCCUUCAUCUUCAGUAUAAUAUUUCCAAGAUGGGAAGAUACGCACAUACGAUUUAACAACAUCAAGUGCGAUAGAUGCUAAACUACGACUAGCUAGUUGUGCUUCCUCCACAGGAAUAGGCGUACUAACUGUUGGAGUUGGGGUUCGCCGUGGUAGUACUGGCCCUUUGGGCACUUGAGCUGCCUUACUAACUGCUCUUGUUUGGGAGCUCUGUGGUGGAGAUGGUGCUGUGUCAACCAAAACUAGGUUACUAUCUGCUGGGGUUGGGGUUAGAUUGGGUGAAGCUGGUUCUCUGUCCAUUGCAAUAGGGGUACAAUCUGCGAGAGUUUGGGUUAUGUGUGGUAGGGCUGGUUCUCGUGCAUGUACAACCGAGGUGCUAUCUCCACCAAGAGGUAGCACUGUUUUAUUU
This 63792-nucleotide long non-coding RNA is filed under the name Triticum aestivum (bread wheat). RNAcentral describes it as "long non-coding RNA (TAES_LNC006277)". Lineage: Eukaryota; Viridiplantae; Streptophyta; Magnoliopsida; Poales; Poaceae. The record is from RNAcentral.